GGGGAUAGUAACCCAUUUUCAUUGUCAAUGCCUAGCUUCAUUUCUUCUUCUUUUUUUCUCAGCAUAACUUGAUGAGUGCUUAGCUUCAUUUCGAAGGUCGUGACACCAACUGAUUUUACCAAAAGCAGAGAUACUUUGUGAUGCAGUAAGCUAACAAGUUUCUGAAAUCAACUAUGUUUUGAACCAAAUUCCGGCGACGACCAGCAGCUGAAAAGCCGGUGAUUAAAGGGCACACUAGGUGCGUAAUUCUAUCAAAUCUUAAAACUGAAGUUAGGUUUUAUUAUUUUCUUGCAUUUUGUUGAAAAUUGCUGUUAGUUAGGUGCUUUAUUCUUUGUUCCAAUUAAUUGAGAAAAAUGUUUAGGGUUUAUAGAAAUUGAAGUAGUGACCGAAUAUAUCUGAAUUGAUUUUUAAGUUGAUAGUCACUCAACAUGUUGUGUAAACUAUGAAAAUAAUUUAUUUUUUGAUGAUUUUGGACUCUGGUUUUUGAAUGCCUACUGAAAUUUGCUUGAUCUGUUAUUAAAAUUGAGAAAAAUCCAAUCUUUUUCUAAGAAUGCAGAGGUGUUGCUGAGAAAAUGCUUAUGGUGUUGUUUUGUUUCUUUUUUUAUGUUACAAGUGUGCAGUUCAUGUAAGAUUGAGACAAUUGCUCUUGUUGCUUUUUGAUGUUUGUAUAGACUAAUUCCAAUCACUGAUUUUUGUUGGAAAAUGGAUGCUAUUAUUUUUCCUUUUCUUCGUGUAAAAAUUUGUAUUUCCGUUCCCGACAUAAAAUUCAGAUGCUUGCCUAUUACUUUUUGAGGUUGUUAUUUAGGUGUAAGAGAUAUAUUAGUUAUAGAGCUUGUAGGCAGUUGGUUUAUUGAAGAACUAGUACAGUUGAGAAAGUGUCUUUUAGGUCAUCCAUUUUAAUACACAUAUUAACAGAUUUAAUUACAUAAACACAAGACUUCAUUUGUUUAUCAAAGUAGUACUUUCUGAUGCUUUCGUAUAAUGAAUGCCAAAGAGAUGACAUUUGCAAAAAGGCCAUUUGAAUGUGCCAACUGCUAUCCUUGUAAACCUCUAUUGUGAUUCUGUUAUCAUUAUAUGUUGUUUAAUGAUCUGAUGAUUUCGAGAUAUCAAGAUGAGUUUAUUCAUACAAUAAAUGUUGUCAUUAGGUUCAUAAUUAUUGUAGUACAUGUUCAUUUAGCUACUUUAGGUACUGCUACAUGCAUUUAUUGUAUAAUGCCUACUUAGCAGCCAUAACUACACCCAUUGUUGAAGCCACAACAGCACAAAUGAGAAAAAAAACAUGUUUAGGAACAACAUUGUCUUUAUAUCAUUUCAUUUUACUCCAUUUUGUUGUGCUUUUUGCAUCAGUGACUUCAAAUCCUUCCUAUCCUUUUGCAUACUCAUCAGCAGUUCAUAAUUUGCUUGACAUGUUCCUAAACCAUCAAAUAUAACACCUUGGUCGAUAUCAUUUGAAGAUGGCAUCCAAAACUUGAAAUAGCCACAACCAUUUUUGCUAUCCAUACAGCAAUAAUAUAGCUUGUUUGGGUUGUCAUCUGAUUCCGCUACCUUCAUAGCAGCUCUUUUGUAGCAUUUACUAAUCUUGUUUGAAAAUCAAAUGAAUUUAAAAUAUUCUCAUUUAUUGUUUUUUGUAGCGUUCACUAAUCUUCUGAUAUUCAGUAUUGUUUUUAUAUAAAUUAAUUUAAAAUAUUAUCAUUUAUUUGUCUUAUUAUAUGAUUUUACACUAUCAAAUUAUUUGUUUUAAGGGGCAUUUUGGUCUUUUCAACACUCCAUUGAGUUUUGUCUUAUUAUAAGAAUAUGUAAUGUCAACAACAAUUAUCAUAAGGGUAUAAUAGCCUUUUCACCCCCCCAGGCGCGAAAAAAAAAAUUGCCCCAAAUAUAAAGAUCAUCUACAGUGUCAAAUAAUUUUGAAGGGCAUUAUUGUACAUUCACUCAACUACCUAAUGGGUGCCUAACCUUCAUACAUGGCCGGGGGUAUGUUGUCAAUAUAUGGAUACAUUCUCUCUAAGUGUAGCAAAGCCAAACCUCAGGGGUGGUUUCUAAAAGUUUUCCUAAAUAGUUAAUAAUUUUAUACAACAGAUUCUUGGAUACCCCUCAAGUUCAUUUAUUAUACGUUAUGGCUGACUUUCAAGAAAUUAAAUUCUACAUUAUGACCCCUAGGGAAACAACGUCGCCAAUAAAAUUAUAAACUAUAUGUGUGUAAUAGUUGUCAAACCUGAACCUAUGUUGUUUAGCAAUUUACAAAAUGAGAAAGACGACAAAAGCCAAGUGUUAGAGCGGCAGCGAGCCAACGAGACAAGCUCAAGUUCACUGUGUUUUUGUUGAACCUUCUGAAGAUCCGAAACUCGAGGUUUGUUUUUUCGUUCCCUAAUCGUUUGACCACAUUUUUAUUCUGUGCUACGUUCGUUAUGAACUAUUCAGGCUAAGUGUUCGACGAAAUUCCUAAGUGAGUAUAUAUAAUGGUUUGCUCUUGUAUUUAUUCUGUUAUAGAGGGUUUUGCUUUGGGUGGUUAAAUAGAGGAGAUUAGACAUUGAACUUUAUGCACUCGUAUGUUUUCAAGUAAUUGUUUGCUGAGGCACAUGUACUUUGAAUGGCUUCAUUCAUCUACAGAGAUAUCAUAACAUUUUUUGCUUAAUGUGAGUCUUAUUGUUGUUAAUUUGUCCAAAGUGAAGGCUUUUUUAACUUUUAUUUCUUUGAUUUAUUUAUUUAUUGGUGUGUCAAAGUUCUGUGUCUAAACUUUUAUUUGAUAAGUUCUUUCAGACAACUAAUUAGAAGAAAAAAAUGCUAGAGAGUGAGUAUGAGAGGGAAUGAUGUUUGGGCAAAGGGUGAUUGGUUCACUUGGCUCAUGAAGGACCCCAACUAUAAUGACAUGUAUCAAUUUCGCAGCCUAAUUGGAAGGUAAGCUCAUUUCUUGAUUUCCUUCAAUUUUCACUUCCAUUUUACUGUUUUCAAGUAGCAGGUAUUCUAAAUAAAAGUAAAAUCAGUAGUGAUUUGCUUCAAAUGCAUAUGGAUAGUAUAUCACAUGUGAGAAGAUUGUAUUUGUUAUAUGAAAAUCCUUAAUAACUUUAAUUAAAAAAUAUAUUCUCAAACCUGAUCGUGGAAUGUACUAUUUCUUAAUAUCUGAGUUUGGAUCAACACAUUUUUUGCCAUGCAAUUUGACAAGUUGUCAUGUCCUCAUUCUGCACUAUUAUAAGUUUUGCCAAUCUGCAUAGGUGUUUAAUAGAUUGAGUUAAUCUAGUUUCGAGAACAUGCCUUGCUAAAGGACGUCGAGUUUCUAAGUGAGGGCAAGUCAGCGGGGCAGGUCUGUUACCUCUAAAUUCUUUCAAUAGCUUGGGGACGUUAAUCCUAUUAAUGACAGCCACAUAUUAUAAGUCAAGAAAACUGAUUUUUUGAUUAUUGAAAAAUCAAAUUUUUUGUAUUAUUCUAUUGAUGAUCUCAGUAACCUACCUGUUGCGGUUGUCUUGUAUGGAUCAUUGUUUCUCUUUUAAGCUGUUAUGGUGACAAUUUUUAGCUCUUAUUGCAGUUCUUAAAGUCAUUGCAAGCACAUGCUCUGUCGAUCUCCAUAAAUUCAGAUACAUAUGCAUAGUUAGCUAUUCAAACAACCACACUGGUAUUCAACUUCAAUAUUCAGAAACAUGGCUGAAGUGAAGCUUCAUGGGGCAUGGGCGAGUGCAUUUUGUUACAGAGUGAUAUGGGCUCUGAAAUUGAAAGGCAUAGCAUAUGAUUACAUUGAAGAAGAUCUCUCUAACAAAAGUGCUUUGCUUUUGAAGCAUAAUCCAGUUCACAAGAAGGUCCCAGUGCUUGUUCAUGACGCAAAAUCAGUUUGCGAGUCCAUUGUUAUCCUUGAAUACAUUGAGGAGAUGUGGCCACAGAAUCCCUUGAUGCCAAAUGAUCCUUAUGAUAGAGCUCUGGCUCAUUUUUGGAUUAAAUUUGCCGAAGAUAGGGUUUGCUUCAGAACUCUAGCUAAUGCGUUUAUAAGUUCAUUAUUUUCAUGUUUAUUUGUUAUUAGAGAAAAUGAUCAGUAUCCCCCAUUGUACGUCAAAAUUAAUUAUUUCUUCUUUUAUGUUUUAAAACCUAUCAAAAUCUCCAUUGUCGUUUAAAAAAUUCUGUUAACUUUCAACUUUUUUUGUCUUUUACUAAUUUACCUCUGGAAAAAUUUUUAUUAAUAGGAAGUUGAAAGUUUAAUAGAAUUGUUUUAACGGCAAGGGAAAUUUUGAUGGCUUUUGAAAUAUGAGGGAGAAAAAGGAUUAAUUUACCAAAACAACAUUGUGGUUUUGUUGUUCAUUUACCCUUUGUCAUUCAAUGUAGUGGUUAACCUCUAGUAUAAGGGUGCUUGACAAAUGACAAGGGUAUGUAUUGUCCAAGUCUUUUAGUUCAUACAUAUUAUUAAUCAUGUAGUGAUAUUUUGGCAGGGAGCUACUGUUUGGAAAAUGUUUCGUAGCGUACGAGAUCAAGAGAAUACAAUGAAAGAAAUCUUGGAAAUGCUAAAAACCGUUGAAGAACAUGGCUUAGGAGAGAAGAAAUUUUUUCAUGGAGACAAGAUUGGCUUAGUGGACAUAGCAUUUGCUUCCAUUGUUUAUUGGUUGCAAAUCAUUGAAGAUGUAGCAGGAGUGAAACUAUUUGAAUCUCACAAAUUCACUCGCUUGCACGCAUGGUUUGAAAAAUUUAAAUGAGUCCCAGAAAUUGAAGAGAACCUUCCUAAUUGGGGUGAACUAUUGGUUUUUUUCAAACGUCGCCGUGAAAAGUUGGUGGCCUCUUCCUCAUUGCAUUAGCACAAAAUUUGUUCGUGCAAUUGUAUUGUUGUUGUCAAGAGGCCGCUCUUUGCUUAGUUUUUGAUUAUCUUGUGUGCUCAAUUGGGAGGCCGCCGCUUUGCUGGGUACUUUCAUAUGGAUUUGAGUAAUAAGAGGGACUUGACUUUAUAUUUAUGAAUUAUUGCAUGUAUUUCGUUAAUUAUUAAUGGACUACUAACGGUUAUGUAUUGUUUGGGCGGAAGUUUACAUGCUGAUAUAUACUAAUGACUUGAAGUAAAGUCAACUUGUUUGAACGAAUGGUAAUAUAGUUCUAAAAAAUAAGAAGAAAAGCUCCUUGUGGAAAAAGAUAGUUCUAGUAAACAUGCCCAAUAUUAAAGGGUAUUAUCGAAACUUAUAUUUUAAUGGUUAGAGCCAGCAUGUGAACAGUGCCCCAUUAUGAAAGAAUAAUUUUUUUUUUGCUAAGAAUAAUGAGCCAAAAGGGCUUUAGAGAUUUUUUUUAGAUCUAAUUUCUUGAGAGACUUCUUCAUCUUCUUCUUCCUUUAUGGUUAGGGUUUCUUUCUCCAUUUUAACACCACCAUGGAAAAUUUUAACCAUCUCAUCUCCCAAAGAAGCCUUUUCCCUUACUCUUUUCCUGGAAAACUCUCUAAUCUCUAUAAAACUCAUAUCUCCCUCAUGUCAUUAUUCCUCAUAAACAACCUUUAAUAAGGUUUUGUCGAUAUUAUAAUGCAAAUUAUGUAAUACUUCAUUUAUAUAGUGGAUUGGAGAUGAAUUACUCUUAUGGAUGUAGAUCAAAGGGUCAAACAACGUAAAAUCUUAUGUGUUCUUUAUUGUUUAUGCUUAUUUUCUAUUUAUUAGGAUGAUGAUAAUACUCAAAUCGUAUUUCAUAUAUGAGCUCAUAUAGAGGCAUACCACGAGCUCUACUGAGCUCCCCAUAUAAGCUCUCUAGUUAAAGCUAUCCUCGAAUUCGCUAGAGCUACUUCCUAAACUCUCUUGAGUCCCCAAAUCAACUCUUUAAACUAAAUCCCAUGAGCUUCACAGAGUUUACCUCCCAAAACACUUCAAUUUGCCUCUCAAAUUACCUCAGUUCACCUUCCAGAUUACCUCAGUUAUUUCUUUUAUCCCUAACAGCAGAAAAACACACCUAGAUUUUUACUAGCUCAAUCUCCUCUCAAAUAUAAAUUUAUUUAUUUAAAUUAUAUUUAACCUUGUUAAUGAUUCAAAUCAGAUCCUAGAGGAAAUCCGGUCAAAACAUGUAUCUAUGUAUAAUAUUUAACAUCACCCUAACGAUCAAUACGAGUGCACUUGGAUUUAUUCUUAGUAGUACACAAAGUGGAAAAAGCAUAACAAGCAACACUUGCACGCUCGAGGCUCAAUAUAAGUACGAACGUCAUAAUUCCAAGCAACAAACAAUGAUCAUCAGUACUAAUUUUUUCUGCAAGCCACCAAAUUGGAAAAGUACCGCGAAGUAAUUAAUUAACCACUGCGACUUGCCAGCUUAAGGUUAUCCAAUGCUGAGAGUUCAUUAUUCUUUGAGGUUUGGUUAUUGUAAAUGUCUUUUAGAGUAAUUGCAGGAUAGAGCGGAGGAUUUUCUUCUGAUAGCAACUCUUUAAGUGGACCAUAUCGUCUCGAGCAACUAUUAUUCAUGAAAAAACUUCCGAUUGAAAUUCUGGAGUCUUCCUUAUUUGAUAACACUCUAUGAUAGGCACUCUUGAACUUAUCGUUGGUAAUCAGCUGCAUAAACACGAACACGUUGGUAAUCAGCUGGAUAAACACACACUUCAUAUAAACCAUAAUUAAGUUAUCUGAUAGAGAUUCAUGCUCGGGUGUAGACGUUCACAUAAUUUUGUAAGGACGAUUCUUUCACAGUAUUGUGAAAGAAUGUGUCCGCACAAGAUUUAGUGCGAACGUCCCACUUGAGAAUUUUCAAUUUGAUGGAUAGUAUUUCUUAAUAAGUUAUCUAACACACACUUGCCUGCAUCAUGUAGCCUAAGUUUACAACUAGAGUUCCCGGAACAGGGGCAAUGCCAAACCAUUGAUCUUCGUGAAAGACUUGGAGGCCACCAAUUUGAUCUUGUAUGAGCACAGUGACAAAUCCAGGGUCAGAAUGUGUUGCUAUGCCGAUGGACAAUUAUGGUUGAGGGCAUUCAGGUUAGUAACCAUUCCCAAUAGUCAUUUCCUCUUCACAACCUAUGUCUUUCAGGUAAUUGGGGUCAAGCCCUAAAGCUUCGGAUAGAAGUUCAAACAGAGUGUCCCCUGUUUUCCACAUUAGGUUGUUGUAUGCGAUCAUUAUCUCUCUGCAAAUUAAUAAAGACAAAAAAUAAUCACUACUAAAAGAAAGGGAGAAUGACAUUUCGACUUUUAGAAAUUAUUUUUUUAUUGGGUUAACAACUAGAUGAAAUGAGAGUAAUAAAAACUUAUUAGGAACCCAAGUGAUGCAAAAAGUUCUAAGAAAGAUGCAAGUGUUAUCCACUGUAAAAGAAAUAAAAUCUAUUGGUCAUCGUCCACAUACCUGCAAGCUUCAGGCAAAUCUUCAGGAUUUGAAAAAUCGCGACCCACAACACAACUUAAAGUAUCUUUCCAAAAGAGGGUUGGUGCACUAUACAAAUUUAAAUUUGAACAAUAUUUAAUUUUUUUGGAGUAAUCACGAGAAUAAUAUUUCUGCUCAACCUCAACAUCUUGUUGAAAAAACCUAUGGAUCCCAUCAAUGGCCUGAUCCAAAUGCUUGUUGGGAUUCCAUGAUUGAUCACUUGAAAGAAACCCCACUUCUCACGAGCACUUCUAAUUUGGUCAAUUACCUGAGAACGCAAACUUGAAUCCCUGUGUAUUCUUUGAAGGUCUAUGAUAGGGAUGCUGAUUUUGGGGUCCCUGCAGAUUGGCUUAUCAUCAAACUUAUGUUUAGUGUGAUGAUCUUGAAGGAUGAUCUGUGGAAUGGUUGUGAUCCCAGCAUCUACGAGUCCCUUAACACCAGCUUUCGUGUCAUCAUAAGCUUUCAACUCGCUAACUCUGUCACAAGUAAUGCUUCCCAUUGCUUGGUGAAUUAUCUUUUACCUGGUGAAUUAUGAAGUACAAAUGCUGACUUGCGGGUGAUUGCUUUUGGUAUAUGCCGUUUAUAUGAAUAUGAUUGCUAGCUUGCCACGUGCAACAUGUUGAAAUAUAACGUUAGCAUGAAGAUAUGGAAAUUUAUAAAAUUUGAUUCUGCGUUAUUUAUCAUGAUUAAAUUAAUUAUAAAUUAUCAAUAAUAGUCAAUUCCGGGAACUACCAACUACUGGGUGGCACAUCACAAUAAUAAAUUAUCAAUAAUAGUCAAUUCUGCAUUAUUUAAUAUUUAUGUGGAUAAAAUUUCAAUUAGCUACACUACAUUGUUGUUUGAUAGUUAACGUUUCACCUUCUCCAUUUGUAAAUAUUAUUAUGGACUUAUAGUGUGGCUUAAAAGCUAGAUCUUAAAUGAAAAGAAAGCUUUAAUGGUGAAAUAAAAAUUUAAAUAAAUGAUAAAGAGAUUAAAGGUUAACCUAAUGUUAGCAAAAAUAAUUGUAAAAUAUACAUGUUUUAUCAUGUUAAUUGAUGUUUUUCCAGUAUGCACAUAAAAAAGAUCUAUUUUACAAUUGUUUCUGUUGGCGUUCGGGCAGAUUUUUUUUAGUCUAAUUAAGUAUAUCAUAAGUUAAUAAUAGUGCGUAUUUUAACUUUAAUAAAUUUGGCCACUUAGAUUUUUAAUUUUGACUCCUUCCCUAAUCAAUCAAGAAAAAGAAUGCUUUUCUCCAUAAAAAUUAAAAUAGAAAAUUCAGCAAGGACAUAACUGCGGAGAUGUUUGAUUCUGGAUUUAUAUAUCAAAGCAACAUCAAAAUUAUAAUACUUCCUUGUUACCAAGAAGAGAUAUAUUCAAGAGCACUAGCCUUAUAAAGCCUUAACAAUACUAAACUACCUACAUGGAAUCUAAUGCGUACAUGCAAUGCUUUCUAAAGUGAAACUGUCGCUUGAAAAUAGAAUUCAUGUUCAGCAGCCUCUCUCUAUCCGAGCUCCAAUUUUAUAACAAGGCAGCUAAAUAAGAUGAUUUAGAUGGCAUCGGCAUCUGUAGUAUCGUUUGUCUGCAGUCCCUCAUUAUCUACGAUCUGAUCGCUCCCUAUAGUAUUGUUUGUCUGUAGUCCCUCAUUAUCUACGCUCUGAUCGCUCCCUAUAGUAUUGUUUGUCUGUAGUCCCUCAUUAUCUACGCUCUGAUCGCUCCCUAUAGUAUUGUUUGUCUGUAGUCCCUCAUUAUCUACCCUCUGAUCGCUCCCUAUGUAGAGAAUCGACAAGAGCAAAUUGUAGCACACGUUCACAGAACUAAUAACUGUUAAACUCUUAUAGUACUUGUCAAGCCUACUAUCAUCCAAGGUUUCAGCAAAGUCGCCUUUGUUUGCCAAAAUGAAAAAGAUGUUAAAAAUGCUUCCUAUUCCGACGAAAAAAGAACUUAUUGCUGAUACAUGGUACUCCAUCCGUUCAGGAAAAUGAGAGCUCGAGUAUUCAUCACAUCCAUGCAAAGCAAGCCCUUCCAUAAGACCCAAUAGACAGAAUUGUGGAACAAGCCAAAACAUGCUCAUAUUUUCCAAUUGUUUGCUCUUUUCCAACCUGCGAACCUCAACCUGCCAUGCCACUACACAGCAAACUGUAGACAUCACCAUUCCAAUGAAUGUUCUCAAUACUUGAGCUUGUCUCUGCUUCGUUUCCGGAACAAAUUUGAAAAUUAAUUUUUUCGACAGAUAAGAGAUCGUCGCACGAAUUAUGGCUUCAAAAGUAAGUAGAAAGAUUAAGUAACGUUCAGAAAUCAUUUUGGCUCCCUGCUCAGGAAAAAAUGUAUUUCCCGCUGACAGAACCAAUCCAAACACAAUGAAGCUAGACCACAAUGGCAACAACUUAAGAAGAGAUUUUGACUCCCUGACCUGGGCCACAGUGCAAAGUGUGCCUGCCUCUUCUUGUUCUUUAGAAGUACUUGAUGUCUCUAUAAUUGCCGCUUUGUCUAUCCACCUGCAAUUCAAAGAAUUAGUUUAUUGGUAAUUUUUUAGGAAAAUAGAAAGCGACAGCUCAUGGUUUGGCAAAAUGAUCACACAGACGCUUUUAUAAAUACGCCCUUUUGGACAAAUCUUGGAGGUCGGUGUGACUAUUCCCGAACACAAAAGGGUAUUAAUGUGUCCAUAAAGAGGUUUAUAUAAUUAUUAAUAAAAAUAAGAGGGUCUCCCCGACAAUUUUGCCAGACCACGGGCCGGGUGUGGGUGUAUACAUGUUAGGCAUAUACCUGAGUAAUUUGAUUCUGGGUGACAAGUGUAAUACGUUUCCCUCAUCAUUACUGAAGAACAGCUCCGGAGAAAGAGGAUAAUUGAGAUGCUUUUUCUUCAGGGAGGUUUUAACAACGCGGAUUAUAGCAAAACGGUCAAUAGGAGGUAUUUCUGUAUUAUGAUAAAAGGGAAUACCUAACAACAGGAGGAUCAAACUGCCCCCCAUAAACAACAAUGUAAACAUGAAAGUCUUCUUCCGUGUCUUAAUAUUAUUUGCGUAGAAUGCCGCAGCUGUACCACAGCACCAGGCAAACCGCCACCACACUCUUUUCUGAGCCAUUACUUGAUCCUCAUUUGAAUUUUCUGUUCUCCCUCCUUCACCAUGUUGUCUUAAUUGAUAGGCAAGAAAUGGUCCCAAAAGAGGAGCCGCUCCAACUUCACCCACUGCUAACAGGAUAAUUCCUAUCAUGUUGAGUAACUCAAAGUUGGUUUCUGAAAAUUCUCUGGACGCUGUACAGAACAAUAGUCCCAAUGCCUGAAACAAAAAUUGUUGGAACUAAUUGUAUAGCAUAACAUUAUGAUCCUAGAAAUGCUUUUCUUAAUCAUUAUUAUAAUCAGAGUGGAGCCAAAAUGAAUUAAUGUCACAUUAAUUAUAACUUAUCUAUUGAGAUCUCUAUCAUUAUAUUUAUAGGGGUAAGGCUCCUAAUAUCCUCUUAUUACGGGUGUGUGUAUAUAUAUAUAUAUAUAUAUAUAUAUAUAUUUUAAUAUGCUGUGAAAUUUAACAUUUACUGCAAAAUAAUAAUUUUUUUAAUUUAGCCCAAAGUACUACAAAGUCCUGGGUCCGCCCCUGAAUAUAUAUAUUGCUUGCAAACCUAGGAUCAUAACAUAUGUUUUAAUUUCGUCUCUGUUUAGAAGUUUUGCAAAUUCAAAACAUAUUAACUUACAAGGAUGUAGGAGACAGUUGAAAAAAUGAGGAUUCUGAGAGGACGAAUGGCAUAACACGAAAUCCAGGCGGCAACAACCGUAAGAGUUGCUAAUAUUACAUCCUGAAUACUCGUAAAUAUUGCAGCUUUUUGAAAUGUGAAUACUUUUGAAUAUUCGGAGUCGGAGAAGUAAGUUAUCAAGACGCCCACUAUAGCCAAGUCUACCAGUUUGCGGCUAGGCUUAUCAACAAACCUGGAAUCAAAAUAAUCAUUAGAAAAAAUGUUCGUGCUCACUAAAAAAAGCAUACACGUGACGACUGCAAGAACAAUGUGAGAGAACUAUUGUCAUGUUUUUAUAAUUUAGCCCAACCUAAUCAAAGAUCUUAAGUACACCUCUCUUAACUGAAAUUAUUUUAGGGGAUUAUCUAUUUAGGAAUCUCAAAUUUCAUGAGCUCUUAAUACACACACUGUAGUGUUUUUGAGUGACAGAUUAUUGUACAAUCAACUCGAAACACUUGCCAAGAUCGCAAAUCAAACAACCAAGAUGUAACAAGAACCAACCCAGAACAAAUCACAGAGAACUAGGACUAUAAGAACUUAGCAGUAAAACAAGGAAAUUAACGUGGUUCAGCUAGCUUCCACUAGCUUACAUCCACGGGAAAACCAGGACCAAGUUUAUUGAUUUAUCAACCACAAUUACAGAGAAUCUCAAGAGCUGAUUACAGAGCUUUUCCAAGAAGCUUUCUCCUAAAACUUCUCUACCCACAUUAGCUCUCACACAUACGCUCCUGUUGCAACUAGAACCAGCUGUUUAUAACAGCUUCUUCAACGAACCAGGAUGAGCCCAGAAACUCACAUGAUUGGCAUUCGUGAUAAUAGACUCAUAACGAUCUUUCAAGGGAUGGCAAAACCCCGGGCCGGGUCCGGGUAUUGCAAUGACCGGACCCUGCCCGUGUAUUGCAAUGACCGGACCCUGCCCGGAUGCAACCGGUCCGGGUCCGGGCCGGGUUUUAAUCCGGGUAUCCAAAUUUUAUAUUUUUUUAAUAUUAUAUGUUUAUAUAUUUUAUAUUUUUUUGGUAAUUUUAUAAGUUUUAAAUUUAUUUCAAUAAAAUUUGACAUGAAAAUAUAAACUUUAAGUGUUUAAAACUUUAUAUAUGUAUAAUAAAUGAGUCAAAUAAAUAUAAAUAUUUAAAAUAAUAUAUAUUUUAUAAUUUUUUUUAAUAAAAUCCGGGUUCCGGGUUUAUCAAGUGAUGCCCAAGACCGACCCAGCUUCAUACCCGGGCCGGAUAAUACCCGGCCCACAACGCCCUAGUAUGGUCCGGGUCCGGACCGAGCGGGUAUUUUUACCACCUCUAGAUCUUUGAAAACAACUUAUUCGAGCACGUGAUUCUCUCGUCCAUUACUUAAACCAAAACGACAUUCAGACAGGUCGUUCCAGUAAUGAGAGAAUGCUGCUCUUCAAAACGCUCUGAUUUGCUUCACAACACAACACACACACAUACGUACAUACAUCAUCAUGUUGUUAAAGUAAUGAUGUUAGUAAAAUACAAAAAGAAUAUAGUUUUAAAUACAUUGGAGAUUCUAUCUUUUUUGUACUUUACUAACAUCGUGAUUAACAAAAUGAGGAUACCUUUAUUAAAGAAUGAUUAUAUAUAGAUAGUUUUUUUUUUUUCUCGUGAGCGUUCUCACAUAUUUUUUUAUGCAUACACACUAUUAAAUUGUAUGGUUUAAUAAAAUUAGUAUAGACAAUUAAACUACAUGAUUUUGUAGUGUAUUAAAAAUUAAUUCUAUUAAACCAUACAAUUUAAUAAUGUGUCUGUAUUAAAAAAAAACCAUAUAUAUGUAUACAGGUUUAUAUUCUAAAUAAAUACAUUUUUAAAAGAUACGAAUACCUAAGGCCCCACGUGCAAAAUUACCUGACAUAAAUGCAGCAGCCUUACAAAAGUAGACGUAAUAUCGUACCCAAGUCAUGAACCUGCUUUGAAUCUUCAACAACCGAGAAAAUGGAAACAUUGUAGUUUCUGAAACUGCUUCUUUUAUCAGCAAAUACUUCUACUUGUGACUUGUGAAUCCGGAGACAAUGAAGAUUUUGUAAUUAUACCAAAGUCUUCGCUAGUCUUCUAAAAAGGUAGUUUAUUCAAAUUAAAAAAUAAUAAGUCGCACUUCAAGACCACCUAUUGGUCACAUAAGUCUUUUUUUUCUUAUUUUUAGGGUUCUAAAAAGAUAGUUUAUUCAAAUUAAAAAAUAAUAAGUCGCACUUCAAGACCACCUAUUGGUCACAUAAGUCUUUUUUUUUCUUCUUGUUUUUAGUCUUCUAAAAAGUUAGUUUAUUCAAAUUAAAAAAUAAUAAGUCGCACUUCAAGACCACCUAUUGGUCACAUAAGUCUUUUUUUUUUCUUGUAACUAAAGGAUCCAGCUACGGUGCAACAGGUGCACCGUGCCCCUCUUUUUCCUUUUUUGACAGCACCCCUUACUUUCUUCUGUAUUUACAGUUUAUUAAAGUAAUUUCUUUUUCCUCUUUCUUUCACCCCUCAUCUUUACAAUCUUCAAUUUUUUUCCAUUUUGAAUUAAACCUAUAAUCAACCAAUUGCAAGCAAUAAGAAAGAAGUUGACAAGCUAUUUCUUUAUCACCUUAGGAUUCAUUUGCUCUAUAAUACAUAAGUAAUAAUGAAUUGAAGUUUUUAUAUAAAAAAAUCACAUAGAUGUAAUUUUUUUACACACACUAUUUAUCAUCUACAAUGAUUUUUUUGUCUUUUAUUAUAUAUAUUCUUCCCCUUUCUCCUCCGUAUGUCUUUCCAUUUUCUCUUUGAAUAAUCUAACCUAAGGCUUUCUAAUAAUUGGUUUAUUGUUAUUAUUUUUAUAAGUAAACCUUCUCUUUAUUAUGUCAAUAAGUUUAUUUUUUCAAGAAAAAAAAUUCGUAAAUGACCAAAAGUGAGAGCAUUAAUAAAAAUUCAAAACCUAUCUUAAUUUUUGUUGUCUUUGUUGAUGCAUCUCGCAUGUUUGAUCUAUUAAUUAUAACUUGUGAGAGUAAAUACUGUAAUACAAUGAUAAUAAAUUGAUGAUUAGUAAUUCUUACUAAGAGUAUUCAGAGAGAAAGAAGUUCGUGUAAAAUUUUAUAAACUUUGACUUUUCCAAAUUUUCACUAAACAAUAGGGAUUGCAUUAUUAAUAACUAAAUAAACACAUCCAUAACCUUGAAACUACAUUUGUGUUAGAUCCAACGGUGACAGCACAAAAAGACAAAAAGAGGGGUAUGGUGCACCCCUUGCACUGUAGCUGAAUCCUUUAGUUACAAAAUAAUGACUUACUGUACAGCUCAAUAAUUUUAGGUGGUAUGAAACACGUAUGAUGAGACGGUCAUAAUUACACUGUACCAUGAAUGAUCCUCAUUGAGUAUAUAAUCCCUUUCUUUUUUCAAACAAGAUUUAUGCUUUAAUUUUGGGAGGUUUGCUAAGUUCUUUCUUUUUGUAAUGGUUACGGAGACUGACAAUUUUCUAUUGAAGUUAUUUAUACAUGUAUUUCUUUUUCAGCAUGUAAUACAUUUAGGAAAUGAGUAAUGAUUAAGUACAAACACUUUUAGAUAAACAAUGUUGUACGAACUUAUGUGAUAUCUUUUUAGAAAAAAGGAUCUGAACAUCCUUAAGAUUUUAAAAAAUGGUCAUAUAUACUUUGAGUUUUCAAUAAGGAAUAUCAAGACACUUUUUGACUAUAGUAUCCUUAAUAGAUAAUAACAAAAAAUAUUGACUUUAAACAUUUUAAUAAAUAUAAAUAAAAUUUAAAUAGUUUGAUAUGUCUAGUAGACUAAUAAUAUUAGAACGUUUCUUAAUAUAUAAAUAAUUUUUAAAAGAUAAAUUAGUAUAUUUAUUUUAAUAAUAUAUUUUUACUUAUUAUAAAAAUUGUAAAUAAAUCUUUAGGUUAGAUAGAUUUUAAAUUUAAUAAAAUACAUGUCAUGUACUAAUAAUAUUAAAACUAUUUUAUAUAAUAUUGAAAAUAAUUUAAAUUUUAAAUUUUAAUAUUAUGUUUCGAUUUAUUUUGAAAUUUAGUUUAAUAUAAUUUAAUGUUGUAAAGUAUUAAAAUAUUUUAAAAAUAUUGAAAUUAUUUUAAAAUGUAUAUAUUGUUACAUUUAUUUUAAUAUUAUACUUCUAUUUAUUAUAAAUAUUAAAAAUAAUAUUUUAAUUAAAAGGGAGUUUUGGUGUCUCUUACUUAAAAAAUGGAGUGUACGUAAUUGUUUUUUCAAAUUUUCAAGGGUUUACAUGUCAUUUUUCUUACUUUUUUAUAAUCAGUUGAAUAAAAAAAAGUCAUCUGGCCACAUAAAUUAUUUCUAAUUUAUAUUUUCAAUUAACAAAUCAUAAUGUAUCAUAUCUAUUUGUAUAAGCAUUUAUGAACAUAAAAAAUUAAGUUUAGGCACUAGUCGGGUUGGAAAUCAACCCAUCCAACCCAUGUAUAGUGCUAGUUGGGUGAGUUGGACUUAUCUCGAAGACCCAUUUUCUGUCUUUGAAAUGUCAAUAUGAAAUUAAAAUAAUUAAAAAAUAAUUUAAUUGAAACAACUAAAAAUAGAAUACAAAAUUACAAAUAAUAACUAUCCCUCAAACUUCAUUGUUAAUAAAAAUAAUUAUUUGUAUAGGAUCCUAAUUACACCAUAAAAAGUAAUAGGAUGAAUUCAAGAGUUGGGUUUGAAAAUUACAAAUAAUAACUAUUCCUCAAACUUCAUUGUUAAUAAAAAUAAUUAUUUGUAUAGGAUCCUAAUUACACCAUAAAAAGUAAUAGGAUGAAUUCAAGAGUUGGGUUUGAAAAUUUUCAACACCUAGUAAAUAUAGUGCAUCUUCUCCACCCCUAUGAAAUUAGGGGUUGGCUUUCUACUUGAUUUUAAGUAGAGAAAAUGAUCAAAACUACCUUAUUGUUUUUUCAAACUAUAGGGUGAAUUUAAGAGUUGGGUUUGAAAGAUGCAAUAUGUUCAUAUUUAUAUAUAUGAACAUAUUGCAUCUUCACUAUCUUAUCCCCAGAAUUUUUGCACCAAAUCAUGGUAAAAGAAUAAAAAUUCGCAACUCGAAUCAACAAAGUAUUAUCACUAAGUUAUUCUGCAAGCCGCCAAAUUGGAAAAUGUCCCAAAUAAUUAAUUAACCGCAGCGACUUGACAGCUUAACUUUUUCCAACGCUGAGAGUCCUUCAUUCUUCCCUAUUGAGGAUUGGUUAUUGUAAACGUCUGUUGGAGUAACAUGGGGAUAGUGCGGAUGAUUUUUUUCGGAUAGCAACUAUUUAAUUGGACCAUAUUGUCUCGAGCAACUGUUAUUCAUAAAAAAAAACUUCCAAUUGAAAUCGUUGAGCCUCGCCUUCUUGAAAACACUCUGUGAUAGGCACUCUUGAACGCGACACUGGUAAUCAGCUGCAUAAACAUAUAAAAGAACACUGUAAUUAAGCUAUACGAUGGAUUCAUAAUAGUCAAAGUUGUGCAUAACAUCUACUUGCCUGCAUCAUGUAGCCUAAGUUUACAACUAGAGCCCCGGAAACUGGGGUAAUAUCAAACCAUUGAUCUUCACAAAAGACUUGGAAGCCACAAUUCGAUCUUCUAUGAGCAUAGUGACAAAUCCAGGGUCAGAACGUAUUGUUACGCCAAUUGUCAAUUUCGGAUGAGGGCUUUCUGGGUAGUGACUAUUCCUAAUAGUUAUUUCCUCUACAGAACCUGUGUCUUUCAGGUAACUGGAGCCAAACCCUAAAGUUUCAGACAAAAGUUCAAACAGAGUGAAUUAGCAAUUGGCGUUGUUGGAGAAAAAUCAGUUUUUAAAUUUAAAAAAAAAACUUUUUAGGGCCGAUCUCAUACAAUAUAUAAGAAUUCGUAAUCUAGAAAUCGUAUCUUGAAAAUCUGAGAAAAUGAACAAUCUUUGCUUUUUCCACUGAAGUGAAACUAAGCUCCCAGAUCACGAUCCGUCACCACCACGCCUGUUAGAUCAUAGUCUGUCACCACCACGCUUGUUAGAUCACGAACUAUCACCAAUGAUCUUCCAGAUUAUGACUCAGGUUUGAUCUGCAUUUGAUGUGUGAGUGCCUUUAUCACUACCAAUAGCAACUAGUAGGAGAAAAUUUUUCUCUCAAGAUUAGAGAGAAAAAUUCUUUUUCUCUGAUCUGUAUAAUGUGGUCUUAUAUCGUUUCAAGAGAAAAUAAGCCAUUUUAUAUCUUAUCUAGUGGAAACCCUAAGCUCUAUAUUUUCUAUUUUUUAAUUCUAUUAACACAAGACCCCUUACACAUAAGCAUAUUACAUGGAGCCUCCCACUAAAUAAUAUAUUUAAACUUUUAACCCAAAUAACUAGUUAUCUUACUUAUUAAUUUAGUAGCAGCGCAGUCAAUUAAAUGAGCUAACCCAGGGAUCAUUUGGGAACAUACAAUAGUGGCUACAAUAAUUAGGCAUGUAAUCAAACUAGCUCAAUUAAUUAAUUUCAAAUCUACUCCACUAAAAGAUUGGAACUGACCUCCAUAAUUGUAUGCUCGAAUAAUAAUUCAUCCCAAGCCACAUUGAUUUCUUUACUGCACAAUCCUUUAUACCACAUCAUUAAUUAAAUCGAUAUCUCAACUGUCCAAUCAAUUUAAUUACAUCUUGUUCCUCGAUUCUUACUGGUUUUCUCUAAUGAUCAUUUCAACAUACUAAAUAUGUCGACACACUCUGACAAAAGAAUUCUAUGAUCAAGUGCCGAAAACUCAUCAAGAGAUGUGUUGUACAAAUUCUAUAUUGUCAAUCUAUAACUCUAAUACUCAUAAUUGCUCUCAUCAAGAUACCGGGUAAUCUUGACUACAAGUAUGUGUCGUGCCCAUUGGUAAUUCAAAUGAAAUAACAAUUACAAUCAUGAAAUCAUAAUUAACUCAAGAUUAAGAUUACAGUAAAAUCAAUGUCUAUGAGAUUUAAUAAGUCUGACAGUAAUUACAAAGUUAAUUAAAUCUCAUAUGUGAUCAUGUUCAAUGUAGUCUUACUACAUCAAUAAAUUCAUACAUGAUUAAGACAAAUUAUUCAAUGAAUUCAUUACAGUCUAUACCUAAAUAAAGUGCCCAACUUUAUUUAUCAACUGCGAACUAAAUUUAUUUAAUCAUAAGAUAACUUGUAUUUAUGUCUUCUGUGAAUUCACAUGUUGAUUCUUGUCCAAAUUUAUUGAACUCGCAAGUGCACGAAUAUAUUGUAGAAUAGAUUAAUGGUGACGAAUGUCGAUUCCACGAGGAAGUGGAUUUUAAUUAUGUGUAGAAUUAAUUUUCUAUGAGGGUGGUUGGAUUUGUGGUGAAAAUGAUUUGGAAUAUUCUAAACAUUAAAUUAGAAUGGCAGGAAUAAAUUAAAGCGAAAUAUAUUGAAAUGAAGCACUUAGUUAUUUGGAUUUGCAUUAACAUGCACCAUGAGCUAAAUAUUCCUUAGUAAUGUCAAUUAAAUCAUGAGGGGGGUUUCUACUCCUUAUGAACCACACUCUAAUCAAUAUGGUGCUAAGGGCUUAUCGUACCAAAUAAUAAUAACCUUGUAUUAGGGAGUCGGUUAAACCGGUGCGGUAUCAAGACAAGAUUAUUACUAUUUAUUGACGAAAAGUCAAAACAUCAAUAAUAAUUAGAGGGGAAGAGAAAGUAAAUUUACCAAAUAAAGCCCAUGGCACAUGUUGAGACUUCACCAACCCAAGCUUGAAAGAAAAUUAGCUACUCAUAAUUGAACUAAGGGUAAAAUGAGAAUUUAUUAAAUACAUAGAAAAUACAAGAUGGAGAAGGAAUUACAUAAAAUAGAGCUCAAAAAUGAAUUCAGGGAUGCCAAAUUAAAGGGGAGCCCUCCUUUUAAUAGAUACACUAAGUAAAUCAUGGCCAUCAGAUUAAAAACAUUUUGGACGCUCAAGAUUGUGCCACGUCAUCGGUCAAUAGUACGCGGUUUGACCAUGCAGUUUGGUUUUAAAUAAUCCCGUGUAUUAUGCAUGUACCGUACGCACUAUUUUUGAUCCACUAACAUACUGCCACGUCAUUGAUCAACAGUACAUAAGAAUUUUGUCUAAUAAAAUCGUGACAUCUCAUCAGUCAAUGCCACAUCAUCGGUCAAUGCCACGUCAUUGUUCCGUAUAUGUGAACAGUGUCGUGAAUAGUAACACAGUACCGUAUCUGUGAAUAGUACCGUACAUGUGAACAGUGCCAUUUUCCUUUUAAACUCCUCCUAAGGUUUUCAACUGUCCUAAUCUCAAAAGUGAUGUCCGUUUUGCUGUAUGAUCUCUCGUUCAUUGUGAAAUGACCAUGAUGCCCCUAAGAUACAUAAAAUACUUAAUUAUAAUACAACACACAUAAUUAAAUCACAAGAAACUUAAAUACAUAAAAGUAGGAAUGUUAGUGAAACUUGAAGUGUAAAAUGACAAUUUUCUCCUUCAUAAAUAUACACUUUCGAACACUCAACAGUGAUCACAUAAAUACAUAUAAUAUGAUUAAAUGGACUUUAAUCAAAAUAUUAAUACAAUUAAGAUAUUUGAAUAAAAUACCUCAUUUAUUUUAUUAAUCAGAAAAAUUAUUUAUUAUAAUUAAAUAAACACAUAUGCUUUUAAAGAGCAUAUUUUCCCAACAGGCGUAUCUCAUAAAGCCAACUUCGGUGGUUGGGGUAUCCUGCUGUGCAACGCUGUAUCUCUUAUAGCCAACUUUUACGACUUGGACAAUUUGUAUUUUACCGAUUGUCCAUUAAAUUAAUUUGUUUUUGCUGAAAAUGAAUAUUAAAAAAAGAUUAAAAUAAAUAAAAUUAUAAAUAAUUAAAAUCACUGAUUGUCCCAGACCACCAAUAAAACCUCUAAAACUAAAAUUAUAAGCUCCUCUGUAAGAUCCACCAUUAUAUUUCUGAUUACCACUAGCAUUCUUUCAAGGAUUAAAAUGGUUUUGAGUUACAUUAGCUAACAAGUUAUGUGUGACAUCACUAGCAAUUUUACCUCUUGUCUGUUCAACUCUAUUCUCCUGAUUUAGCAGUAAAGAAUAAAAUUCAUCAAGACUGAUCUUAUCAACUCCAGCUAACACACUAAUAACUAAAGAUUCAUAAUCAAAUGAAUCUAGUCUAGUCAAAAUAUAUUGAACAAAAUCACUUAACUCAACAGAUUUUCUAGCUAAAGCCAGUCUGUCAGACAAUCUCUUCAUUUUAACAAAGUAAUCAAUCAUAGACAUUGAUCUUUUUUUGAGUGUUUGAAUAUGCAUCUUAAAGGCAUUAUUCUAGCUUGAGAUUGUAAAGUAAACAUACUUGUGAGUGUAUCCAAAAGCUCUUUAGCAAUGGAGCAAUGAAUGAUUGGAGCGAGUAGAUUUUGCUGAAUAGAUGACAACAUCCAACUCAAAACUAAUUGAUCUGUCUUCAUCCAGGCUGUGUAUGCUGGAUUGACCUUUCGAUUUUUAGUACUAGUUGAGGACCAACUUCAGUGCUAGCUGGUGUGAGAAAUUACUCCGGACGAGUUUGAUCACCAUUAAUGAAAUUAUCCAGAUCGUUUCCUUUGAUCGAUGUUAAAACCUGAGUUUGCCAGACAAUGAAAUUAUUAUGAUCUAGCUUAACAGGAUUGAUAAAACUAUAGGAUCCAGAAAAUUGAUUAGAACUCACCAUUGUAGGCUCUGAUAUCAUGAUAGAAUUUGUAAUAUAUAUGUUUGGAAAGCAAGAAAAUUAAGGAGAAAAAGAUAGAAAGAAAAGAAGAAGAAUUUAGAAUAUGUUAAUUGUUCAGCACAUUACAAAUGUGAUUAUAGCCUUUGUAUUUAUAUUGAGUGAAAUGCUUAACUAUAAUUUGUUAUAACUGGAAUACGUGCUAAACAGUUCGUUAGCCAGAAGGCUGAGAUGGCUAACUAAUUAUUCCACGUCAGCAAGAGCACUCGUGUAUGGUCCUCAUCCUUACUGUAAUUAUCAUACUCUGUAACACUUCUUCUACAUCUUCUUGCUCUUCAGGACCAAGUGUACUUCGUGGGUCUAUAAUUGCUGCUUUGUCUAUCUAUUUGCAAUUCAAAGAAUUAAUUUAUUGGUCAUUUUUUUAGGAAAAAAGAUAACGAAACAUAGUUGUUUGGUAAAAUAGUCAUGUGAACUCUUUCUUCAAAACAUAUAUAAAAACAAACCUUGGAGAUCAGUAUUGUCUAUGUGAUAAUUUCUAAAAAUAAGAGGUUUAACUGACAAUUUUUUCAAACCAUGGGAUGUUGGUAUAUACUCUUUAAGUAAGUACCUUAGUAAUUUGAUUCUAGUGACAAGGGUAAUUCAUUUUCAUCAUCAUUACAGGAGAACUGAUCUGCAAAAGAAGGAUAAUUGAGAUGCCUUUUCUUCAGGGCAGCUUUAAAAAGACAGAUUAUAGCAAAACCGUGAAUAAGAGGUAAUUGUUUACUAUGAUAAAAGGGAAUACCCAACAGCAACAAGACCAAACUGCUCCCAUAACCAAUAUUGUGAACCUCAAAGUCCUCCGUCAUGUUUCCAGAUUAUUUGCAGGGAAUGUUACAACCACAUUACAACACCAGGCAAGCUGCAGCUAUACUUCUUUUUGAGCCUUUACUUAUUUCUCAUUUGGAUUUUUUGUUCUCCCUUCAUCACCAUGUGCUCUUAAUUGAUCGACAAGACAUGGUCCUAAAAGAGGCCCCAUUCCAAAGUCACCCACUGCUAACAAGAUCAUUCCUAUUACGUUGAGCAGUUCAAAUUUAGUUUCUAAGAAUUUACUGGACGCUGUAUAGUACAAUAGCCUUAAUGCCUCCAACAACAAUAGUCGGAACUAAUUGUAUGGCAUAACAUUAUGAUCCUAAAUAUGCUUCUUAAUCAUUACUAUAGUUAGGAGCGGAACAAAAUUGAGAUUUAGGGGGCCAAGUGUAAUUAAGGUAAUUAUUUCAGGAUUAGAGAGUAUUAGUUAUUUUCUGGGGUUAGGGGAUGGGGUUCACGUUUAUGAAACCACCAUAUAAAGAAAAACAACUAGUUUGAAAGUUGAAAUUACAAAUUUAUAUAGUGUGAGAUUAUUUCAACCUACUAAAAUAUUUGUUAUUUUAAAGGCUAAUGAGCUUGCGGCUUUGAAAAGGUUGGAAUGUUAUUUGGUUGGAGAGGGACUCGGUUUCAACUUUAGCUUGUCUUACGAGUACCAAAUUCAAGCCGCCGUAGCAUCUGCAUAUCAUAUAAUUGAAUUGUUUGAGAUUUAUUCGUGGAAUACACUUUGCUAGUUUACACAUCUAGAGAGAGGGGAUUCAGUGGCUGAUAGUCUUGCAAAUUUGGAGUUAAAUCUUAAUGCUCAUAAUUGGUGGGAUAAUCCUCCUAUUUCAAUUCGUCAGAGUUUGCAUGAGUGUAUGCUUGGGAUAUCCCUAAAUAUCAUUUCAAAUGAGUGUUUUUGCAUUCUUUCUUCUCCUUCUUUCCUUAAUAAAAUUGAGUAUCAUAAAAACAAAAACUACCAGAAUGCUUAAUAAAUGUAUUUAUUCAAUAAAUUCAUUUAAAAAUUUAAAUUAUUUUAUUUUAUUUUACCAACCAAUUUUUAGUAUUCAAUAUGUCCUUAUUUGAAAUUCACAUAAUUCUUUCAUCUUUCUCUUUCAAGACUUUUAGGCUUUUAAGGCUCUUUUACAUUCGUGUCUCCCUAAUAUUCUAUUUUUCACUAUUUCAUAAGCACAUCUUUCUUUAAAAUUGUGGGCAUACUAUAUAAUUUACGUAUGUACGUAAAUUAUAAAUAAAUAGAUUUUUAAACGAUAUGAUUACCUAAGGUGCCAUAAGCAAAAUGUUACCUGAGGUAAAUGCGGCAGCCCUACAAAAACAGAGGUGAUGUCUUACCCGUCUUUUGAACCAAUCCUGAAGCUCCUGAGAACAUGGAAACGCUGUGGCUUCAGAAAUUGCUUAUUUUAUUUGCAAAUAUUUCCACCUGUGAAUCCUGAUUCCUGAUACCGUGGAAAUUUGUGUGGGCUCGAUAUACCACCUUAUUACGUCAAGGUAGUGCAUUCGAACAAUAAAAGUUUAUUAUUUUGAUAGGUUUAGUAGGUUUAACGUGGGACCCCACUUAUUUAAUUAAAAAAUAAUAGAUAUAAAAAGUAAUAGUACUACUUCAUCACCGACUGAAUUAAAAAAUAAUGAAUCUUACUUCAAUUGUCUUUGAGACUUAACUAUCGUGGACAGACCGUGGAAGUCUACCUCCUUAUUUUUAAGUACAAAUUAAAGAAUGAAUUGUACUUACUAACAAGCCAAAAUCAUUUAUUGCACAGCUAAAUAUAUUUUAGAUGGUAUAAAUGACCAGCAAUAUAUUGCCAGUUGGGUGCACAUACAAGAUCAUAUUUGGCUUAAGUAUUAUAAAUUAGGAUAAUGCCUAAGAUUUAAACCUAAGUUCGGAGAAUGUCUAAUCACAAAACACAUUUUUUUUUUUUUUGAGGAGAACUAUUGCUUUUUAACUCUCUCAAAUAUUCGAGGGAUGCCAACUCCCCUUUUGAAAAAAAAGACUGUCUUCGCUCAAGCUCUGAAGCUCCAAGAAAGAAAAUUUAAAUUAAACCCCCUACAAUAGGUCUGCAGGGACUCGAACUACUUCGAGCACUUGUGAGAGAGUGGCUCUAGCCACUUAGGCCAAGCCCUAGUGGUUCACAAAACACAAUUAUAAACACUAUAAAAUCUAAAAUUGAAAGGAGAAUAAAAGAUUCUACACAUUAAAGUCCUAUGAAAAACUAUAAAAAUUUUAAGGGACUAGCCUACCCGUCUUAGUUAUUAUAAAUAAAAACUACCUUCUAAUCAAAAGAAAAAUCCAGUACAGUGCCUGCAACAACGACAUACACUACCACUAGUACCACUAAACUAUUACCAACGUCACAAAACAACUCAAAUAUGAAUAUACAUCUUAAACAAUCACUGUUAUUCUACAAAAAUAGAGUAAAUCAUCGGCGGUUUAAUUAACAUUUAUUAAGGGCUCAAAUAAUAUUUUACAAAGGCUAUAAAGAGAGAAAAUUUUCCAUUGGGGGACUUUAAUCACUUGAGUCCCUUUAGGGCUUGAGAGUAAAACAAACAGCCAAGACAAUAUAUAAUAACAAAAUGAAUGAUUAGAAGAGUCUAUGAAUAAUAAAGCCUCGUAAGCAUUGUGGAAAAUUUACUGGGAUAUUUAUCCAUUUUCAUUGGCAACAGGUCAAUAAUACAACUGGCAACUUCACUCACAAAAUGCGAAAAUCCAAUUCAAUAACCAGUUAACCACAAAGUAAUGGACUUGCAUGCCACAUUUCAAGUAUAUGAAGCAUAUAUAUUAGAAAAGUUGACAAAACCCAAAUUAUCACUUAAUUAAUCGGCAUUUAACCCCUCUCAAACUACAAGGGGGGAAAAAAGAACUUACAAAUGUGCAUGUGAAGAUUGUUUAUCUGGGCUCAUUUUGUCAAAGUCAUCUUCGUCAAUUCGAUCUGUUUUGAUUUUGGGCUUUCUAAUUAUAUAGCCAGUUUGAGCUUCUAACAUCCCUUUAAAAUUCUUGUGAAGUCCUACUGUUGCAUUUGUAACACUUGCUUUUAAGAAAUUAUUUAAAAAGACAGAAUAAUAUGAUAGAGUUAAUUAAAAUUUAACAUACUUUUUUAAAAUAAAAAAUCUAUCAUUAGGUAAUUUAUUUCUUCAUUGUCUCAAAAUUAUUUGAGUUUGCAUAAGAAAUUUAUUAUAUCAUAAAUUAGGAUUGGUGAUGAUACAGCCACAAACUCUUGUACAAACUUAUCUUGUACAAAUUGAUUUGACAUUAAUUCAUUGGUUGAAUGAAAACAUAAAAUAAUAAAAAUAAAUAAUGUGCGUCAAGAAAUAUUUAAUUCAACCAAUUUUAUCAUACCACAUCAGUUUAUAUAAAAUAAAUUUAUACAAGAGUUUGUGACUAUAUUAUUACUCAUUAGGAUUUAAAGAUGGGAUAGUUCAUAAUUAGCAGGUAUAAAGAUAUUUUAAUCGAGUUAAAUUCAUAAUUGUCCUUCUCUAGCAGUAGAACUAUGUUCACAAAAAAUGCGGAUUUACAAGGAUUUUAAAGGGGUGUGAAAAGCAUUAAUUACUCUUACACGACAUCACCCAAAUAAUCAAUUCAAACGCACUCGGCUAGAUUUGUUCCAAGAUUAGACCUUUUGACACCCCUCAAAAUUCCUCAUAAAACCCCUUGUUAAUAGAAGUUACUUAAAUAAUCAAAGAUAAAUUAAUUCAUUUCUUACUUUAACUAGAAAUCCGAUUAAACAAUUAAAAAAUUUCUAUUAAAUUUUUUUUCACCCAUCCCAUUUCAUAAUUUAUAUUUAUAUUUAUAUUUUAGUUUUUAAUUUUUUAAAAACUUAUAAGAGUUUAGAAUUAUGGAGAUAGAAACUAUAUAAUAAAAAGAAAAUAAUUUAAAUUUUAAGAAAUUUUAGUACUUUAUAAAUAAAACUUAAAAGAAAUAUUCAUUUAGAGUUGGUAAGAUAAUUGAUUUUAAUAUAUGAAUUUGUAUUUUAUAAAUUAAACUGUGAUAUUUUAAAAAAUAAAUUUAAAAGAAUAUUAUAAGAAUUUUAACGAAGUGUUAAAAACUCCACCCUUAUCUCAAAGAGUUAGUAUGCAAAAGUAAAAACAUAAGCAAUACCCGUUAACACCAUUGGACCUUUGACCUGGUGAUAAAGAACCUAUUGGGGGCACAGGUUCAAGUUUUUGUUUUAUUUAUCCAAAUUGAGUGAAAGUAACAUCAUUGAAUCCUAUAUUACAUAACUGCAAAAUCAUAGAACUAAAAAAUUUCGAAUUAAUUCAAACAAAUAAUACAAGGGCAAUCUAGAAAUCAUAUUAUCUUGAACUAUUACUUUAUCAACUUUAAAUGAAUACUGCAACUUAAGUCCAAAAUCAGUACCAAUAAAUGAGACAUGGACAGCCUUAUUAUGCUGCUCUUGUUCUGUUUUCAGCAUAAAAAGCCAAUUCUGCUGUUCUUAAACUGUUUCUCAACAAGAUGGAACAUGAAGUUGUAUUCAAUGACACAUGGACAUUUCAUGAUUAUAAAAAAAUCUAUUUACUUCAGCUAACCUCAAGGAAAUAAUCUAGUAUUGUAGUCAGUGAUGCAUAGAAUAUAUUAAAUGAGAACAUAUUUUUCUAUAACAACGAAAAAGGAAUUGCUAUUAGAGCAGAGUACAUCAAACGGAAAGAUUACUCACAGUGAACACUGGAACUUGUGUGCCUUGCCUUCAAUUCUUUUCAAUUUAGAUUUGUUCAAGAAUGUGCAAUUGGUAUCAGCAACUUUGGGUUGUAAGAAUAGAGACAGCAAACAACUAUCAAAAAAAAAAAAAUGUGGAACUUAGUUUGAAGAAAUAUUGUGGAUCAUAUCAAAUGCCAAAUGUUGGAUAAUCUUUUCCAAAUGUUGGAUAACAAGAAAAGGGAUGCACACAAGACCGCUGACUGAAAACAGAAAUAAUUGGACAAAUAAAGCCCAAACCACAACUCAUCCUAAUCUUUAUGUUACUAAUGGAAGCUAAAAGCACAUAAGUCAUCAACUAUUUACAUUUUCUGAUAGAUACGGAUGCUUAAUACUUUCAUCAUGAUAUCCAGAAACAAUAAAAUUAAGCUAGUACAAAGAUAUCUAAAUGAAGAUGAUAAUAUCAUAGGCAAAAUAUGGUCCAAUGGAUUAGGAAAAUCAAGCUAAGGUCAUUUUUUUAUACUAAAUGCUUAAUUAAAAAGACAUCAUUAUAUGUUUUAUACAUGCACAAAUUGUCAUUUAUUUGAGGCAUGUCUAAUAUUUAGUGGAGUGACAAAUAUACUUGAAAAUUUAUAAAAAUUAUCAAAUAAUAUGUAAGAAAUAUAGUUAUUUUUGUUGUAAUAUUAAUGCAAUAAAUUUUUAUCGUAUCAUAUCGGCAUGUUUAAAGAGGGAAAAAAAAAACUCAGAGACUCAAAAACUCCAAACUUUAAUGUAUAGCUGGCAUUUAUUUGUAGGCUCAAUUGAAGUACAGAAGUCACAAUUCCAAACAACAAACAAGCUAUCAUUACUAAUCCACCAAAUUGGAAAACAUCCUCAAUUAAAUUAACCACCGCGCCUUUCCAGCUUAAGUUUUUCCAACGCUGAUAGUCCUUCUGUUGAGGAUUGGUUAUUGUAAAUAUCUUUUAAAGUAAUUGCAGGAUAGAGCGUAGGAUUUUCUUCGGAUAGCAACUCUUUAAUUGGACCACAUCGUCUCGAGCAACUGUUGUUCAUAAAAAAACUUCCGAUUGAAAUCCUUGAGCCUUCCUUUUUUGACAACACUCUGUGAUAGGCACUUUUGAACUUGUCAUUGGUGAUUAGCUGCAUAAACACACAAUAAAAAAUUCCACUAUAAUUAAGUUACAUGAUGGAUUAAUAAUAGUCAAAUUGAUACAUAACAUGUACCUGCCUGCAUCAUGUAACCUAAGUUUACAACUAGAGCUUCGGGAACAUGGGUAAUUACGAUCUGCAGUUUCCUAAUUUAACUCAUGCAUACGCGAGGCUUUUGUUUACCCUAGUUUUUAGUAUAAAAAGAGGCACGCAUCACAUAAUACGGCGGCAAGGAAUUAUCAUUAGAAAAAUUGGAGAGAAAAAGAAGAAGAAGAUCAUAAUUCAAGGGAACGGCUGCAGCAUCAUUGAAGAAUCCAGCAGAGUUAUUUGGAUUCACUUUUUGCCGUUCUCGACUUAUACCUUUCUUCUUUCUCUAACUGAUCUAAUGUAUUUCAUGAACAAUAUGUUGCUGAUUGUUUAUCUCUUUCAGAAUAUGAACUAAACUUGCUUGUAUUUGAGUGACAAAUAAUCUAAUGGGUUCUUGACUGUUCUUAUGAGUUGCUAUGUCAUGGCUGUAGCAUUUUACUCUAGUAGCUAUUAUUAUAACUGUUAUUUUGGUUGACCACCCAUUUAAUGGUUUAAGUUAAGAUAGGACUGUAAAAGGGCAUGUCUUAGUGGAUAUUAUUAGAGAAAUACUUUAUCUUAAUUUAAGUUUCCUAUAUUAAGUUUAUCUUGAAUCCCAUAAGGACCAUACUUGAAGUUAAGAUUUGUGAUAAACUAGACAUAAGUAUUCACCUUGUAGGGUGGAGAGAAUGGAUGUUCAUAAUGCCAUGCCAUAGGUAAAAUAGCAACUGGUCAUUGCGAAGAUGUUUACGAGUAUGAGACUUCCAAUAUGCGAUAGCUGAGGAUGCAAAUUAAAUUCUGCCCAGUGCUAUAGAAAUUGUUGUAGCAACUGGUGUUAACUUGAUGAAAAGCAGUCAGCCUAUAAAGAGAGUUUGAUCAUUCAACUACCUUAUUCUCAUUUGAUUCUUCGACGCAUUUUAUUUAAUUUGUUUCAUUACUGCAUUGUUUAACUUUAUUAUCUCACAAUUAUCAAUUUCAAUAGUAACCAACUUUACAUUUGUUAAUUUAGGAAUCAAGUUAGAUUACACUAUCGUAAUUGCUGUAGCAUUUCUAGUAACAUCAAUCCCUGUGGAGACGAUCUUGAAUAUUAAUCACGUUAUUACUUGUUGUGUAUACUUGCACAUUAGCAUAAAUAGAAUUUGAUAAAAAAUACCAACAAUGAGAUAGGGGUAAACUUCAGGAUGUGCUGCAGUUUUUAAUUGUUGUGCAGAUUCUUUUGAUUCCUAUCUCUAGUGGAGAACCAGAUGUGAUUUUGUGGGACCUUUCUCCUGAUGGUAGUUUUUCUUUGAAGACAACUUCAAAUAUUGUGCAUUGGACAAUGCCAAGUGAUGAGGCUUUUUUUGUUAUUUGGCAGCGACAUAUCUUUUCUUGGAUAUCUUUUUUUCUCUAGAGGUUGUGACACAAAUUCUUGACCACAGAUGAUGCCUCAUGUUCGGGGGAUUUCUGCAUAGUUUCUUAGUAUCUUUGCAGUUGGGCUUAUGAGACUUCUAGGUAUUUUCUUUCUUGAUUGCCCUCGAUUUGCGCUAUGUUGCUUUUUUGUUCCCUCGUACUUUAUUUCUUAAUUGGUAGUGAUGUGCCCUUUCUUGGAGCCAUAUUCGAGUUCUUCUUCCUUGUUUCAUUUUGUGGCGAGUUUAGAAGGCCUGUAAUGCAUUGAAGUUUGACUCAAUGGCCUUUUUUUUGUUGAUGUUGUUAUUUAUCGGGCAAUGUUGGAUCUUAGGCUUGCCAAUUCUGCCUUUGGUCUUAAACCAUCCCAACUGUGAGGAGUUCUAGGUUCUCGAUUUGCAAAGUGCUUGAGAGUUGUUGUUUCAUCCAGGAGGCUGAUUCUUUUAGUUUUUGGUUGUGGUCACCACCUGGGGUGGUGAAGCUGACUAUUGAUGGUUGCUUUAGGAGUAAUCCUAGGAUGGCUGCUUCAGAUAGUAUUUUACGUGAUGAUUAGGUUGUGGCUUUGGCUGCUUUUGGUUCCUUCCUUGGGUGCUAACUGAUCUUUCAUGCAGAAUUCAUGGCUGUUUUUGAGGGGUUAGAGUUGCUGCUCAGCUCCAUUAUUCUGUGCUUGACGUAGAGUCGGACUCAGCCAUGGUGGCUUCUUGGAUUCUUUUCUAAGGCCUUGUUCAUAUAGACUAUACCUAUUCUUUGCGUCGAGUGUGUAGUUUGACAUUUUCUUCUACUUCAUGGUUAGUCAUGUGCUUCGAAAGGCUACUUCUACUACUGAUUUCUUUGGCCUACACUCUUUAAGUUCAUCGGCGUUUCUUGGGUUCUCAAGAUAUCUCUGCUGGCUUAUCUAAUAAUCUUCGUUUGAAUUGUGGGUAAUUUAACAUAUCAGGCAAUAUAAUUGCUUAUUUUUGUGUUCUAUUUUUUAUCUUGUAUUUUUCACUUUUUCAUUCUUAUGUUCUUGCAAUUGCGGUUUUGAUUUAUAUUCACCUCCUUAUAUAUUUGAUUCAUUCUAUGAUUUAUAUGAAAGAUAGGAGUCCCACCUAAUCCUACCUUUUUGGUGGUUAAAAAAAAAAAGAUUAGGAAUCAAACCUAGGUCAUCAAGGUGAAACAUCAAUCAGGUUGUAAAUUUAACAUAUGAACGUAAAAGCUUAACAAAACAUUUGAAGUUGCUUGACAGCAUAGAAAUACAAGCAAAAAGAGAUGCUAAACAACACAAAAUUUUGAUUGGGUGGGAGUAUUGUUCAUGCUAGCAUAAUAAUGAGGUGCCUGAGAAUACCUAUGACUUUCUUGAUAAAUAAUAUCAUCUAAAAGGUUAAGAAUCACAGAUGAUUGUCCACGUAUGAACAAAUCUGGCUCCAAAUGUGAAAUGUAUUAAGAUUUUCAAACAUUUAAAUUAAUAGUUAAUAAUUUCGGACAAAGGAUACUUGGAGACCCUAAAGUUCAUUGAUUCUAUAUUAAAAGACAACACCGUUACUAAAAUUAUAAAUUAUAACAGUUAAACCUAAACCUACGUCGUUUAGCAAUUUACAAAAGAAAAAAAAUAUAACAAAAGCCAAUUGUUGGAGUAGCAACAUGCCAAAGAGAAAACCUCAAGCCAUGUAAUAUCCUGUAUCAACUAAAAAGGAACAAACCACCACCCUCAAGGCCGUCGCUGCACUAACGCUGGGCCCGAUUUGAAUAGUUAGAAGUUGUAACAUUAUUUAGGGAUUGAGGGUAAAAUUUUGGACUUUGAUUUAAUAAAAUUGAUUUAUAUGAGUCCCAAUAGAAAUAUAAUAAUAAAUAUAUCAAUACAAUUAUAAUAUGUUUAAAAGAAAAAAUUUAUUUUCACACAACAAAAAACACAACCUUUGGAUGUGGGAUGUGUCUAAAAAAUAAUAGGGUGGAAAUAUUAUCACCCUCAAAUUAGAUAUAUAAAUGUUUAAUGUUUUACUCUCAUAAUUUUCUAUUUACUUUUUUGAAUAUUGUUAAGAGAAAGAUAGAAGUUAAUAUAUAGACAAAUCGAGUCCCUUAUUUUAUUAUUCAUAUCCAUAAAAAGUAACCACUAUGCUAGUCCCCCGAACUUAGCAUAAGACGGUAAUUUAAAAAAAGAAAAAAAAAAGAACGUUUCUAGACACCAAAACGAAAGCAAAACAAACACAAAGCGAGACAUACAAACAAAUUUUAUGCUACUGCAUUCAAGCAGAAGCCAUCAACUGUUCACGACGAAGUUUGAGAGCAACCAAUAGUUCAUCCCGAUUAGGAAGAUUUUCUUCAAUCACAGGGACUUGCUUGAAAGUUUCAAUCCAGGCAUGCAAGUGAGGGAAUUUGUGUGAUUCAAAUAGUUUAGCGCCCACUAUAUCUUCAAUGACUUGCAACCAAUAAACAAUUGAACCAAACGCUAGGUCCACUAAGCCAAUAUUGUCUCCAUUGAAAAAUUUCUUCUCUCCCAAGCCAUGCUCUUCAACUGUUUGUAGCAUUUCCAAGGCUUCCUUCAUUGUGUUUUGUAGUUCUUGUCCAGUGCUACGAAACAUUUUCCAAACAGCAACACCCUGCCACAAAUAUUUUACAUCUGAUUUUAUCACCGACAUGAUUAAUUAAUAAUAUGUAUAUAAAAGUAAAAAAUCGUUGGACGAUAUGUACACGUGUCACAAUAUCCUUUAAUUAGAGGUUUAAUAAGUUAAUUAAGAGAGUUCAACCACUGAGUUGUAAAAUCCUUUAAUUCACUUUCUCUCAAUGCUUCAAAAAUCAUCAAAAUUCCCCGUGAAGUUAAAAACGGUUGUGUUAACUUUAACUUAUUACAUCUUUUCAUAUUGAAGGAUAAAACAGUGAAGACACCAGAAAUUGAAAGUUUAGAGAACUUUUUACAAAUAAAUAUGAAGGAGACCCCUGGGUGGCUGGGCUCGACUGGCUAUGAAUUCACUUCCGCCAUCACCCGAGUUUGAGUAUAUAUGGAGAGUAAGAGUUAGUGUUUGGUGGGUGGAUUUCGUUAUCCUCGUCACCUCAUCUAGAUCUUAAAGUAAAUAAAUAAAUAAACACAUUUGAAAAGAAUGAACUUAAUCAUAAACGUGUUUGCCAGAGUUGUGAGCGAACCUUGUCUUCGGCGAAUUUAAUCCAGAAUCGAGCAAGAGCUCUAUCAUAAGGAUUAUUUGGCAUCAAGGGAUUCUGUGGCCACGUCUCUUCGAUGUAUUCGAGAAUAACCAUGGACUCACAAACUGGUUUUCCGCCAUGGACAAGCACUGGGAUCUUCUUGUGAACCGGAUUGUGCUUCAAAAGCAAAGCACUUUUGUUUGAGAGAUCUUCUGCAACAAAUUCAUAUGGCACGCCUUUCAAUUUCAGAGCCCAAAUUACCCUGUAAACAAAUGGACUCAGCAGGGUUCCAUGAAGCUUCACUUCAGCCAUGAUAAUUCUAAGAUUGAAUUUGAAUUAUCGGUUUUUGUGAUCGAUGUUGUGUAUGGCUGUUAACUCAUUACAUAUGUUUCUGAAUUUAUAGUGAUUUAUGGUAUGCACUUUCUUGAGCAGAAAGCUUCAAUUUUCCAUUAAUAAAACGAUUAAUGAUGAAUUCAAAGAACUGGUGCGAUGACUUUAAUUAAAUAUUUUUUUACGCUGUGUGCAACCGCAUUUUGAGGUUAAUUUAAAGGAUAUUAUUUUCUCCUGAUCAAAACUUUUAUAUAAAAAAAUAAUUAUGUGAUUGGUAGUUAUUAAGUAAAAAUAAAAUAAAAAAUAAAUUUUGAACGUAAAUAAAUAAAAAUCAUAUAUGUUAUAAAGAUUUUUUAAAACUCAAAUAAGUGCACCCAAUUCCUAAUUUAAAACGCUAGCCAAUGAGAUCAAUAAUUUGGUCAACCAGUCAGAGAUAACCAUACAAUAAUUAAUCAAAAAUUUGCCAUUUGUUUUACAUUUAAGACCUUUGCGUCAUGCAUGAUGAUCAAUUGAUCAUGACAUGGAUCAAUUAGUCAACAAGACAUUUGCCUUUUGUGCAUGUAUCCACAUUGGACACAAAUAUAAUUUGUUAUAAAAAAAUUGGACUAAAUUAUUUUUUAAUAUAUUUUUUUAAAAUAAUACAUCUGAUCCUAGAGGGCCUGUUAUUUAGUUCGUAAAUCUUAUAACAGGACCCAUGAUUUUUUUUUUUUUUAAAAUCUUAUGGGUCCCCUAUUAUUUAAUUUGUGGAAUUGACGGAGGUAACUUACAAUUUCAUUUUUGUAAUUUACAGCUUUCAAUAAAUUCAGAUAAUAUUAGGCGGUAAAAGUCGGCCAAGCUGGAGGAGUAGAUCUAUAAAAUUUGCUAGCACUUUGCACUAUCUGUUUGGUGCCCAGAAACACACAUAUAUAUCAUCCACUUUUUAUUUAACGCUGGGUUUUUUUCGACCCAUAAUAAUUUCUCUUUCCACAUCAACUUUUUAAUAAAAACUUUUAUUGUCAAGAUAAAUUGUUAGUAAUUACUUCACUAAUCCUCCCUUUUUUUUGGGCCAAUUUCUCUUUCGCAACUGACAAAAUUUAAUUCACAUCAUGUGAUAGUAUGAUUGCAAAUAAAUUUGAAGUUAUCUCUCGCAAGUUAUUCAAAAAUACAUUGACAUAUCUUGUGUAUAGAACUAAAGAACAAUAGCAAAACCAAUAUCCUUUAGCCGAUCGCUGCUAUUAGGACGGCAAAAUUAGUAGUAAAUAUGUAAAUUUGUCUAAACCCAUCUACAAAAUUCUGUCCACUGCGAAUAAUUUUGUAGGUUGCGGAUAAGUUUGAUAUUUUAAAUUUAAGUUCGUUGCAGAUUACGGAUGGAUUCAAUAUUGAGAAAAAAAUUGGCGGGUGUCUGCCGCUAGCAUUUUUUUAAUUAUUUAUGUUUUUAAUUUUAAUCACAAAGAUUGUCUUAAAAAAAAUUUAAUCAUAAAAAUAUAAUAGUUAAAGAUAUUACUCUAAUCUUCCAAAUUCCUAAACCUAACCUAACUCAUGACAGUUGCACACCCUACUCCUUCAAGUAUGUAUGUAUGUAAAUGUAUACACACGCCCACACACACAAAAUUAGCUUUUAAUAAGUAGAUUUAGUAUUUUUCAAGUUUAAUAUUAAUGAUAUUUUAAUUUAAUUUAAUUACUUUUGUUUGUUUCGCUUUAAUGACUUGAACUUAGUAAUUGCUGGCUAAGAUUGGAUUUUUAUUUAUCUAAUUAAUGGUCAAUAGUUGUCCAAAAUAUAUUUGUUAAUAUUGUUGACAAUACUUAUAUAUUGACUGAAAGAUAGAGCAAGGCAUUAAUUUUAGUAAUAAUUAUUUGCCUACAACAAAAAUAUUUUGUGUUAGAAUGAUAUAUUUUGUGUAUUUGUUUUAAUAUUGAAACUUUAAUUUCUCUUUUAUAUUGAUAAAAUCUAAAGUUGAGUAGUUUAUGUAGAUUUUUUAGUCUGUUACUAUAAAGUUAUAUUUUGAAUUAUAUAAUUUAAAUUAUUAAAUAUAAUUUUUUAAUAUUUAUAAUUUUAAAUAAAAAAAUUUAUUAAAAAAAAAAACUACUACAUGUUAUGGGUGGAUUUGCUAAUUAUUAAAAAUUAUAGCGAACAAACUAAAGAAAAAAAGAGGCAACCGGUUACGGGCGAAUUUAAUAAUGACAAACCCAUAAUAAGCAAUACCAUUACCAUCGGCAGCUUCUAUAACGCAGGGCCGGCGGCGGUCUUGAAUUGUUAGAAGUUGCAACAUUAAUUAGCAAAAUUUUCUGCGUCAUCCCUGAAGUAUAGCAUAGAAUUAGAUAUAUCCCCUUGUUUUCAAAAUUAGUCUCUUAUUCCCAUAUGUUGUUUACUUAAUUUUUUUUUUCAUUUCAAUUGGAUUUAUAACUUCGUAAUGUUGCGCCUUGUAAAAUGUAUGCUUAAAACGCGUGCUUCUUAUUUUUUAUAUACUGCUAAGAGAAUUUGAGAAUAGAAAUAUAUAAAAUGGUGUCUCAUUUAUUAAUUAUUUAUAUCCUCUAAAUAGCACCUAACAUGCAAGCUCACUUCAAUAGCAAAAUUAAUUAAACAAAAAAAAAAAAAAGCAUUUUUAACACCAGUACAAAAACAUAACGAGUGUAAAGGAAGACUCAUUAACUUAUUUUAUGAUAUUAAAUUCACGCAGAUACCAUCAAUGUUUCUCGACCACGUUUGAAAGAGACCACCAACUCACGCUGAUUUGGAAGAUUUUCUUUAAGUAUAUAAGUGAAAAUUAUUACUCUAGUCUUCAAAAUUCUUAAACCUAAUCUAAGUCAUUACAGCCGCAUGCCUUGCUCCUUUUAUUAUAUGUAUAUAUUUUACGAUGAAUACAAUAACUUUCAAUAAGAAGAAUUUUAUACUUUUCAAGCUUAAUAUUAAUGAUAAUUUAAUUUAUUUUAUUUUAAUUACUUUGAAUUGUUUUUGUUUAAUGACCUGAACAUAUUGGUUGUUUGCUAAAGUUGAAUUUUUAUUUGUCUAAUUAAUUGACGAUAGCAAUUGUAUAAAAUUUACUUAAAAAGAUAAAAUCUUAGUAGAUUACAGAAAGAUUUAGUAAUGACAAACAUGUAGCAGCCAAUACACAUUACCAUCCCCAACUGCUAUAAUGCAGGGCCAUGGGCAGUCUUAAUUGUUAGAAUGUGCAAAAUUAAUUAGUAAAAUGUUCAGCGGUAUCCUUGAAUUUUGGCAUAGAAUUAGAUAUAUCCCCUAGUUUUCAAAAUUAGUUUUUGAUUCCCCUGUUGUUUACUUUAUAUAUAUAUAUAUAUAUAUAUAUAGUAGUUUUAUGGUCAGGGAUUUUAAAGUGCGGGAAAGUCCGGGAAAACUUUAAAACCGCAUGGUUUUCAAGGUUUAAAACUGUAAGUCUUUAAAACCAUGCGGUUUUAAAGGUUUCCUGCACUUUCCCGUACUUUAAAAUUCCGGACUGAAACAUAUUUAUAUAUAUAUAUAUAUAUAUAUAUAUAUAUAUAUAUAUAUAUAUAUAUAUAUAUUUCACUUGGAUAUAUAACUUUGUAAUGUUGCGCCUUAUAAAAUGUAUGCUUAAAAUGCAUGCUUAUUACUUUUUAUAUGCUGUUAAGAGAAAUUGAGAAUAGAAAUAUGUAAAAUGGAGUUUCAUUUAUUAAUUAUUUAUAUCCAUUAAAUAGCACCCAACAUGUAGUUCGUCUCAAUAGUAAAAUUAAUUAAACGAAGCAAAAAGAUUUUUUUUAGCAUCAGUACAAAAAUAAAAAAAAGCACAAAGCGAGAAUCACAAACUUAUUUUAUGAUAUUACAUUCACGCAGAUGUCACCAAUAUUUCCCGACGACGUUUGAAAGCGAUCACCAUCUCAUGCUGAUUUGGAAGAUUUUCUUCAAUUACAGGGACUUUCCUGAAAUUUUCAAACCACUCAUGCAAGCUUGGGAAUUUGUGAGAUUCAAAUAGUUUCACUCCCAUUACAUCUUCAAGGACAUGCAGCCAAUAAGCAAUGGCUUCAAAUGCUAGGUCCGCUAAGCCAAUAUUGUCUCCAUUGAAAAAUUUCUUCUCUCCUAGGCCAUGUUUUUCAACGGUUUGAAGCAUUUCCAAGGCUGCCUUCAUUGCAUUCUCCAGGUCUUGUCCAGUGCUGAAAAACAUUUUCCAAACAGCUACUCCCUGCCACAAGAUUUUAUAUCUAAUUCUUAUCACCACAUGAUUAACAAAAGAAAUUAGAUAAUAUGUACACACGCGUCAAAAUAUCUUUUCAAGGCUAGACGUUUCAAACUGUCAAAGUAUUUAGGAGAGUUUAUCCACUAAUUUUUAGACUAGUUUAGUAUAACUUUUCAAAGCUUAUUUAAAUAGAAUUUUUAUUAGUAAAACUUUAAUUUUUAUAAAAAAAAUUAAUUAUUUAAUUGUUAAUGAAAUUUAAAAAAAAUUUGAAAUUACUUUAACAGAUAAAUUUUUAAAGUUAUGUUACGAAAUAAAUAAAAUAAGAUUAUAAAAUAAAUGAUGAACAUUUUAAACAAUUUAACUUUUAAAAAAAAUUCCUCAAACCUCUAUUUCCAAAAGUUUAAAUUUAAACUUUUACUAGUAUAGGCAAAAGAAUUUAUUUAAUCCCAAAAUGUUCUACUAAAAAUAAAACUAAACAAUAAUAAAAAAUUUAAAAAGAGUUUUUUUUUUAUUAAAUAAACACUUAUGAGUAAUAAAUAAGCCACAUCAAACAAAUACUCAAUGAUAUAAAAGGAAGAAGAUAAAAAAAAAAAUCCUCUUAUUAUUUUAGUAAAUUAUAAUUUUGCUUUCAUGUUUCAAAAGACCUUAAAAUUCUCCCUAUCGCUAAAACAAUUAUAUUUUAAUAUUUUACCCUUGAUGUGGUAAAAUCCACGAUUAAUUAAGAAAAAUUUCUAAAGGUAAAAAAUUUAAAGUAAUUAACCGCAUUUUUUUGAUAACUUUCUCUAAUGUAAAAUAAAAGGCUCAUUGAGCUUAGUCGGCCGUGAAUGCAUUUUGCACAUGCGAGGACAUUAGUUUGAGCAUUAAUAGAAGAUAAAAAUUAAUGUUUAGAGAGUCAUAUUUCUCAUAUACAAUGAAAAAUUAAAGUAUAUAAAGAAAUCCGACAAGAUUAAUUAAAUUUACAAACGUGUUAGCAAGAAAAGUUGUGGUGCGAACCUUGUCUUCGGCAAAUUUAAUCCAAAAACGAGCUUGAGCUCUAUCAUAAGGAUCACUUGGCAUCAAGGAGGGAUUCUGUGGCCACAUCUCUUCAAUGUAUUCGAGAAUAACCAUGGACUCGCAAACUGGUUUUUCGCCAUGAACGAGCACUGGUAUCAUCUUGUGAACUGGAUUAUACUUCAGAAGCGAAGCACUUUUGUUGUAGAGAUCUUCUUCAAUGUAUUCAUACGGGAUGCCUUUCAAUUUCAGAGCCCAUACCACCUUGUUGCUAAAUGGACUCGCCCAUCCCCCGUGGAGCUUCACUUCAGCCAUGUGUCUAAGAUCGAAUUUGAAUAUGUUUGCGGUUGUUUUGCUUAGCUGAUGAGUUAUUGCAUACGUACAUCUGAAUUUAUAAUGAUUAUUCAUUAAUAUUGGAAUAUGGAGUGCGCUUGCUUGAGCAGGGAGCUUCAUAUUUCCAAUUUAUUUAAUAAAACGAUUAAAUUAAGUUGAAUUCAAUGAACUAAUGCUGCGACUUUUUAACAAUUCUGUUAUAUAUUCAACGAGAAGAGGUAUCGUAUUUGACGGGAAUCUCUUGAAACAGUGCUGAAUGAACAAGUAAUCUUAUUUAAUUUGGUCAACUGGUCAGAUAUGGCUUAAUUAUAUAUUUGGCGUUUGUUUUAGGUGCCCAGCUAGCCCUGCUGCUGUGCUUUUGACUUUACCAUGGGGUGGAGUCGUGGAGAUAUCAUCAUCCCAACUGAAGACAUAUUAUGAUAUUCUCCUGAAAACUUUGUGAGACUCAUUUACUCUACAAUUUUAGCAUUUUAGGCCAAAUAACUUCAUAUAAAUGACGUUUUGUCCCCCGGCUCCAUCUCUUCUAUAUAAAUCCGAACACCUGAAAAAUGACGAGACCGGAACAACUCUCCCUCUUAAGUCUAUGCAAAUUUUACACACCAGAGAAAGAGAGGGAGAGGGGCAGCCAUGAGAGACAACGAUACAGAAAAGAAUAUGGAAGAGAGUUUAUUAAUACCAAAAGAGAGUUUAUCAUCAACAUCCACAACAUGGGAUUUGUUGAGUGGAGAAGUGAAAAAGCAGGGUUACAUAGCAGCACCAAUGGUGGCAGUAACUUUAUCACAGUAUUUGCUUCAAGUUGUUUCCAUGAUGAUGGUUGGUUAUCUUGGUCAACUUGCUCUUUCUAGCACCGCCAUGGCCAUCUCUCUAGCUAGCGUCACCGGCUUCAGCGUCCUUGUGAGUCCUACAAUCCAUAUAUAGUUAUAUACACAAGAUUGUUUAUUCUUUCUUUUGAUAGGUAUUUGCAUCAUUGCAUGUGGGAUUUAAACAAAUAGAUGUGCCAAAUUUCUGAUGUUAAAAAACAUGCAAUUAACUAAUACCCUGUUUUUAAAAAUGCCAUUAAUUUUUAAAGGACUUGAUUUGCUCUUUUUUUUUUAAAAAAAAAAAUUCUACAGCUAACUUGAAUUGUGUAAUAUUUUCUUUGAAACAGUUAGGAAUGGCAAGUGCUCUGGAAACAUUAUGUGGGCAAGCAUAUGGAGCUCAGCAAUAUCAAAGAAUUGGAACUCAAAUUUACACUGCAAUAUUUUGUUUAUUCUUAGUAUGUUUUCCGCUUUCCUUUCUAGGGAUUUACAUGGGAAGGCUGCUAGUUUUGGUAGGCCAAGACCCCCAGAUUUCACACGAAGUAGGCAAGUUUAUAAUCUGGCUUCUUCCAGCUCUGUUUGCUUAUGCAGCAAUGCAGGCGCUUAUUCGAUAUUUUCAGUCUCAAAGUUUGAUCAUUCCCAUGUUCUUAAGCUCCUAUGCCGCUCUUUGUUUGCAUAUUCCCAUCUGUUGGGGUUUGGUAUUCAAGUCUGGACUGGGAAACCUUGGAAUUCGAGAGUUCUUCCAAUUUGCUAUCCCUUCUGCAGUAAUGGUUUGGUAUGUUAAUUAUCUUCUGGAGUUUCAUUUUCCCUUCUCAUAGAUAUCGUAGACACGUCAUAAAUUUUCAUGCAUCUUCUUUUGUUUAUAAUUUUGCAGCCUAGAAUGGUGGUCGUUUGAAUUGCUCAUUUUAAUGUCAGGGCUGUUGCCUAACCCACAGCUUGAAACUUCAGUCCUAUCUGUAUGGUAUGUUGACAUAUCUUUGUAUGUCAAAGUUCUAUACAGAGAAGCACCUACCAAAAGGAAAUAUAUUUUUUUUCUUUUUUUCCCCGACUGCUCAUUAUUUGUCAACUUCUUUGGGCAGUCUCAGUACUAUUCAAACCCUCUCUGCAAUCCCAUAUGGACUUGGUGCUGCAGUGAGGUUUGUUCAUAACAAUCAUUUAAAUAAUAAUUGUUUUAUAUCAACUAAUUAGCAGAUUAACCAUUAUUUCCUUCUAUAGUACUAGAGUUUCAAAUGAACUAGGAGCUGGGAAUGUGCAAAGAGCCCGUGUAGCUGUCUAUGCUGUGGUCUUUAUGGCGGUCAUGGAGACUAUCAUAGUAAGUGCAUCUCUCUUUGCCAGCCGGCGUGUUUUUGGUUAUGUUUUCAGCAAUGAGGGACAAGUUGUGGAUUAUGUCACAACCAUGGCUCCUCUGGUUUGUUUGUCUGUCAUCAUGGAUAGCUUACAAGGAGUCUUUUCAGGUUAAAUUAACUUCUUCAACUCUGUCAAUUGCUAAAUAGUUCUCUUUAAGUAGAAAUAAAAUUUUUCAGGUUUCUAAAUUCUUUUUAUUAUUUUUAAGGUGUUGCAAGAGGAUGUGGGUGGCAGAAUAUAGCUGCUUUUGUGAAUCUUGGGGCUUAUUAUUUGUGUGGAGUCCCAACUGCUGCCAUUUUGGGUUUCUGGUUAAAGUUUAGAGGAAGGGGCCUAUGGAUUGGGAUACAAGCUGGUGCUUUUACACAAACACUUCUGCUUGGCAUCAUAACAACAUUUACAGAUUGGGAAAAACAGGUCUGUUUCUCAACAUUUAAUCCCUUAAAAAUUAGAGAAGCUUAUUGGACUAUAUAUGUAAAUAUGUAGCAAUUUUUUUUUCCCAAUAUGUAUCUGAUACCUUUCGACUGAAAGUUCAAGAUUAAAAUCACUCAGCUUGAUCUGAAAUAGUUAGUAUUAUCAUCUUAUGCAGAAAUGGUUUUGCUCAUUGAGAAAAUGAUAUUCAAUAACACAGAUGCAAACUCAUUUGAAAAUUUUGCCAUUGAGAAAAUGAUAUUCAAUAACAGACAUGCAAACUCAUUUGAAAAAUUUGCUUUUUUGCAAGAAUUGAUAACCAUUUUCUAGUUUGUUAAUUGUUACAAGUUCUGUGUUUCUAAGGGGUUUCUCAUGUUGCAGGCAAGUACAGCAAGGAAAAGAUUAUCAAAGGGAAGAUCUUUAGAAGAUAAUAGAAUAGUAUGUGAGUGAGCAGAGUCAAUCAAUGAGCUGAUAUAUACAUUGUCCAGUUGAAAGAGAUAAUCAUUGCUUGAGAAAAUGAGCUGCUCAUAUGUCAAUUGAUGGCCAAGAAGGUUCCCCAAUCUGAUCUAUGGAGCAUCGCAUUUCAUAAAACUCUGUUUCUAGAGAAAAAAAAAAAAAAUUAACAGCUUCUUAGGAUUGGAGCAUCAGGUGACUUAGCAUUUCCAGUAUGAAAGAAUUAUAAGAUAGAUGAUGCUGCAAAAAUGAAUAGAGAUAAAAUUAAGCAAGAGAAAAUGUUUGAAUGUUAUUAAUGAAACCUUUUCCAGUGAUUGUAGAGAUAAUUUUCUUUGUAUUGAAACUUUCAGCAUCUGAAAGAUAAGGAAAAUAUUAAAAGAAAAAAGAAAAUUCUUAAAUCUUUUCCAUGUCACUCCAGCAAAGUUGAAUUGUCAUUCUAAACCCUAUACCAAAAUGUAAGGUGGCCUGUGGCCUAUAGGUAAUACACAAUUUGACAACCCCAUAUAUUUAGUAAUCUAGGUGGAUGCCAUUUAUUUAUUUUUUAUUUAAUUUUUUUUCAUUUUUAAUGCAAACAACGCCUCUUUCAUUGUGGCAUUGGAAUAUAUAGAGAUUUGUACACUGAUUUUGGACCAUAAUUCACAAAUAAUGCGACGCAUAUCUUUCUUUCAGUACUUCUUCAGGAGGAUAAGAUACAGACAUUGUUGUCUUUUUACCUGAAGCAAGUGCAUGUGCAUGAAUUGUUGUUGUCUGUUAAUCUGCUGCCACUUUGCUGCCAAAAAACUUGAAAAAUAAACCAGGAAAAUUUUCAAUAAGCAAAGUCAAACAACUAACCCCUGUUUAAGUAAUUUUCCGAAGAAAACUUUUAAACACUCAAAUAAAGCACUCAAGUAAAGUAUUUCUGUCACAUUAGCUUUCGAGUGAGGUUUGAUUUACAUUUAUAUCAGAUAUACCAAGUGUUUUUUAUUCUUUUAAUUAAUGUAUAUCACAGCUUGGAAAUUCUAAAAAUUAAUCAUGCUUAAUCUUGAGCAACAAUAUCUGUAAUCAUCAUACGAGGUCAAAGGUGAAGGAAAAGAAAAAGAAAGAGUUAGUUUUAUGUAUAUAAGUGAAAGGAUCUGUUAUAGAGUAUUUCUGUUGCAUGGUUUUCGGAGGGAUAGCAUUGUCCACAGCAUUUGGACUUUGCUUCUGAUUCAAUGGCAUUUAGAAUUUGGUUUCCGCUGAGAUCAUAUACAGCUUGAUUCUGAUAUCUUCCAUUUUGGAGGGAUUCAGAUAAAUUGAAGAAGUUUGAGGUUCCAGUUCAAAUUGGUAAUGCUGCAGAUAAUAUAUAUAAUUUUGUAGAGGUUUUCUAACUUUUAUUUUUAGUAAUGUAUUCAUGUCCUGUCAUUCUUCUUUCUGCUUAAAUCCAGUUGCCCAUGUUGGAAUUUCUUUUCAGCUUUUGUAUUCUUUUUCCUUUUUGUUCAAUAAUGCUAUAGACGAUGCUCUACCAUUUAAAAGAUAUAAAUAAAAAAAUUUAUAAAUUUUUACUUUAUCAAGGUGUGAAACCUUAUAAAAUUUAUAAAUUUAACUAAUGAACAGAAUAUUUGGAGUUGUUAUACGUGGCGUUGUUAUACCAGAACUACAACAGUUAAGAUUGUACUUUGGACCAGUAGUCCGCAAGUUCGGGUUUCCAGCCGAUAUACCUCUGUGAUUAAAACUUUAAAAACAUUUUCUUCUCGGGUUAUAUAACCCAAAACAGACUUUCCUUUAGUCUAAAACAGGGUACCAAACCAGAUAAGAAAUUAUCAAAAGUUUUCUGAUGCACAGGAUCCUUGCAAAAGGCAAGUGCAGAGCAUACUUCCUUAGGUUUCAAAAUGAACAAAUUUAAUUCUUUAUUCCUUUUCUUUCUCUAGAGAGCUUCAUUUGCAGAGAGAGGAGAGAAGUUUAAGGAUUCAUAGUGAUAAAAACACACGAGAGUUUAUUGCUUCGAACUUCUAUCUUACAAGAGAUGAGAGAACUCAUUAUAUAGGAGAAAUCUCAGGAAGAUAGGACAGGACCCCUAUCUUUUACAAAAGCAAAAGUAAAAGGUACAUCAUGACACACUUUUAAUUAUUACAAAGGGACAAGGAUGCUUUAAUAAUGAAAGCAUGACUUUGGACAAAGCAAAAGUAAAACUUAAAGUAAAAGCAAAGCAAGAUGCAAUAAUUAUAUAGGACAAAACACAAAGGGACACAGCAUUUAUUACAUGAAGACAAACUACUUUAUGGAGAGGAGAGAUUCAUGUAGUCAUCUUCAGAGGAACUUUCUGUUGUGUCUGGGUCCGUGUCACCAGAGUGAUGAGGGUUUGGGAAAAAAAGGUUUGGAGAGCUUUUGAUGUUUACAGGAGGGACCACGGCAAGGUGGGUGAGGGCAAUUAUAGUCUCUUGGAGUACACCUUGGAGUAUACUUUGGAGAGGUUUGGGUGGCUUUGUCAACUUUGGAGGUUUGGGCUGGCCUUUUGGAAGGUUGGGUUGAUGGACCUGCUUCGAAGGGUCCGGGUUCAUCCAUUGUUGGUUGGGGAAAUGGUUGUAAGUGUUGGCUUAGAGGAAGAAAUGCAUCCCAUGGAUCUUGGGAAUCCUGGAACAGGAAGUCAGUGUAGUCUGGUUUUUCUUCCUUGAUAAUGAUACCUGUGGACUUUGGUUUGGAUAUAGUGGACGGAGUAGGAAUCAUGAUGAGGUCAUGUUGUGGACCUAAGGAGGUGUGGAAGAUAUCUCGGUGUAGAGGAGUCUGGUGGUUCAAUUGACAAAGAUAAUUGUACAGGGUGGUCUGGAUUUCAUUGUCAAUGAUAGCUGGAUGAGGGGCAGUAAACCAUUCAUAAACUUGAUCUUGAGUCCAAAAGAGGUUUGUGUCUGGAUGUUGGAAAUAUGGUCGGUGAAUGAUAAAAAUGGAUGUGAACAUUUGGGCUUCAGAAGCUGGUAUACGGUCGAGAUUGUAGAUCUCUGUUAGUUGCUGUAACUUUUUUCUCCACCAUGGGAUGGGAGAAUACAAUUCCAGUAAUAUCCAGAUAAGAGAAGUGGCUUUUUUCGGGUCGAGGAGAUGGGAUAAGGUAGGAGCAAUUGGUAGGAUGAGCUUGGUAGCAUAAAGAACAGUUAGGCACCAGAGGUACCAUAACUCGUCUUCAGUGAUUUCUCUAGAUGGAUCAAGGGUCAAACCUGUCAGGAACAGAUUUUCUGGGUGGAAAGUGGAAAAUGGAAAGGAGUCGGCCAUAAGGUAGGCUUUCAUGAAGAAGCGAAAAACAGCUUUCCUUGCAAAUUCCUGGAUAGCAAAAACAGAGGAUAAUGGUUUGUUAAGGGGAAAAGUCUUUUUGGUGAGAGCUUCUGGUGGAAGAGAGGUAGCCAUGAAGAUGAUAGGAAAAUGGUAUGCUGUAGAGAUGACGGUGAGAGUGUGUUCUGGUUUGGAGAGUCUGGAGAGCAUAUCAGGGAUGAGGUUCUGGGAUCCCUUUAUAUGCUUGACAGAGAAGUCAUAUUUGAAAAACCAAUCUUUUAAUCGGAGUAGCAUCUUUUCUGGAACAGUUUUACCUUUGAAGUUGAGAAUAUUAGGGAAAGCUGAACUGUCCAUUCGGAUAAGGAAGUGGUGUCUAAUCAGAUGGUACUCAAAUUUCUUGAUGUCAUUCUUUACCGCUAAGAUUUCUUUGAACACGCUAUGGUAGUGUUUCUGUGUGUCAGAAAAAUGUCCACUAGCGUAAGCGAUAAAGUGUUCUUUUCCAUCGAGUUCUUCAAGGAGGAUGGCACCCCAAGAUUCAUCACUGGCAUCUAUCUGUAAGAUGCGCUUUCCAUCUGCAAUUAACUUUAAAGGAGGCGGAUUUUGCGCGAUUUGUUUGAGAGUAGUGACAGCACGUGUGUGGUCAUCAUUCCACUCAGCAGGUUUCUUUUUCAAUAAAGCCGAGAGAUGAUGAGUGUAGUGGUCCACAUGUGGGAUGAAGUCUCUGAUGUAGUUGAUAAUCCCGAGAAACUGUUGAACUUGCUUUUUGGAAAGUUGUUGAUCUGGAAAGUGAAGCAACUCUUGAGCGAUGUGCUUUCCUGGCUGGUAAUGGCCAUCUUUAAUGAUCAUACCAAGAAAUUCGAUGGUAUCUGUGGCAAUGGUGCUUUUCUUGGCAGACAACAUGAUUCCAUGACUGUGGACAAGAUCAUAGAACUGGCUUAACAGCUGGUGAUGUUCAUCAUGUGAACUUGAAAAAAGCAAGAUGUCAUCAAUAUAAAUCAAUGCAUGAGACAGGAUAGGCUGAAAGAUCUUGAUCAUGGAUUUUUGAAAGAUAGAUGGGGCAGUUUUGAGGCCGAAGGGUAAGACUGUCCAUUGGAAAUGGGCAUUGGGAAUGCAAAAGGCAGUCUUAUAUCGUUCAGAGGGUUCGAUGCCUAAUUGCCAAAAACCUGACUUUAAAUCAAAUUUGGAAAAGAUCUGGGCAUUUUUUAGAAAAGUAAACAUGCUUUGUCGGCGGGGUAAAGGAAAUUUGUCAUCUUGCAAAAACAUGUUUAGGGGAUGAUAGUCUAUGACUAGGCGUUUUUUCCCUCGAACAAUUUCAGAAUGCUUUUCGACAUAAAAGGCUUGGCAAGCCCAUUGGGAAUUUGUGGGCUCGAUGAGACCUUGGACCAACAAUUGAGAACAUUCAUGUUGGGCUAGGAGUAAGUCAGACGGACUCAUUCCUGGAUGGGUAGCCUUGGUUGGAUUGAUGUCUUCAUUGAGUUUGAAGGGUAACUUAACAAAGAAGGACUUAUUUUUCCACAAAGGAUUUGGAUGGGUGGACUCAGAAUGAGAUUCUGGACAAAAACUCAAAAGUUUGGUUGAAAGGUCCUGGUAAGACUGAGGGGUUUCGGACAGAUUGUAAAGUUUCAGGAUGUCUGUGAAUGGUUUGAACAUGGACUUGACUCGAAUUCCAUUGGGAAUGAUUUGAAGGUGUUUGAUCUGGUGGAGGAUGUCAAAUCCUAACAAGAUAUCCUUAUUAGGAAGGGUUGAACCAAUAACUUUGGUCCAAAUGACACAAUUGGGAAAGAUUUGAAUACCAAUGGGUUUUUUGGUAAUCAAUGAGGUGGUGAACAAUUUGCCGUUGACAGCUUUGAAAUGUUCUUCAGACUGUAUCCAAUAGUCUGGUGGAAGAAUGUGCGGAUUAAGCAUGCUGCGUUGGGCUCCAAUAUCAAUAAGACCAAUUGCUGGAAUGGGCCUUUGGAAUUUUGAGGGCAAAAUCUGGAGUUUGAUGGAAGGUAUAGGAACUGUAGUGUCAAGGGACAAUAACUGUUGAUGAAAAAUGACUUAUGACUGAUCACUGUCUAAAUCAUCAGAGGACUGCUGUAGUGCGAACACGGUUUCAUCAUUGGGUUCAUCUUGUUCAGAGAAAUAGAAUUCCAGUUCAUCCUUUUCUAGGGAGUAAUCGGUAGUAGCUUGAAGAUGUUCAACAAGGCGAAUGGAUUUUUGUCUUUGGUUGAGACACUCUUUGGCAAAAUGACCCUUUUUCUUGCAGAUAAAACAUCUGAUGGACUUUCGUCUUUUAGAGUCUCGGGAAGAAGAAGACUUCUUUCUGAAGAAUCUGUAAAGUUUUCUGGACCUGCGGGGUUUGGAUGAAAAUUCUAGGGUUUUGAAUUUUCGAAAAUGCUUUUUCUUUUUGGAACUACAAUCACAAUUCUUCUUUUGUUUGCAUUUGAUCUACAAAUAAGGCUUUUUGCAGGCACUUCUGAAUGGUUCAUUGUCUUUCAACAGGUCUUUGAAAAACUAUUUUUGUUCACAGAGUUUAUCAAGACAUGUCUUGGCAAGCUGAAAGAUUUUGCCAAGAGAGAUGUUGUCAAUGACAAGAUUGGAGGCGGUGAGCUGCCGCUGUAUGUCUGGUUGGAGUUCUUCUGGAAGGGAAGCCAGAAAGACAUGCUUUAGUGUAGGCUCAUUAAAUCCAUUAAGCUUAUAGAAUAACAAGGACAUGCGUUUGUAAUGGAAAUCAAGAUCCUUAGCAUUGAGGGAGCAGCAUUUCAUGUUAAGAUAGUCUCGUCGGGCGGCUUUAAAGGCCGCAGCUGGGUCUCCGAGAAAUUGAUCAUUAAGAAUGGCGAGAGCACUUGAGACUUCUGGUAAUUGGACAAACUGUAAUUGUCAGUAUUGGCCUAAUGAAUCAAACCAAUCUCUUAGAGCACCCGUAAAACGAGUAGCAAAUUCUCUAAGGACUGAUUCAGUUGUGGCUCCUAGGUGAAGCAUUUGGAGAUCAAUCCAGGCAGACAUUUCAUUAAGGCGGUCACGCCAUUUGUAAGAUGGGAUAUCAUCAAAGGUGAACCAUGGACCAUUUGAUGAUUUAUGACUAGAUGAACUAGUUUGGGCCGGAGGAGGCUGAUGUGUAGCAGAAGAUUCAGGCAUUUUUUCUUCAACAUCAGAAGGAAUGUCAACAUAUGGUUCUGUCCGGGAUGACUGACCUUGGGUAUGUUGAUCAGGUUGAGCCAUUAGAAUCUUGGUGAUAUCAGCAUAAGAGUUUUCAGAGUCACUGGUGGAUGCUGAAGAUUCUGUGUCAGUCUCAGUGUGGCUAUCUGAAACGGCUAGAUUUGAAUCAGAAGUUUGGUCAUCGGUGGAAGAUGAGUGGUCAACUGUGUGGGCACUGAACUGGUGCAUGGGUUCUUUAUCUUUGGAUUUAGUAGGAGGUUGAGAUAAGGGUGGUUCAGGUGGUGAUGGUGAGGCCGGUGUAUAUCCUGGGGAUUGGUGGCCAGAGGUAGGAUUGGAGGAUGGGUGAAUUGUGACGGGUCGUGGUUGAGGCUUCGGCUUUGAUUUAGGUUUUGAUGGUGGUGGCAAUGGAUGUUCUCGAAAGAGUGUAUGAGUCAUACCAAAUAACUUGGAAGGCUCAUAUUGUCUAACAAGGGAAAGUAUAGAGGCAAAAGGAUGAUAAGUGGGACCAAUGGAAGGAAUGAGAGGUGAAGAAGUAAAAAGGGACGGACGUUGUUUUUCAGACUCAAUUUGGCAAAGCUCAACUUUUAGGCGUCUGAUCUCUCUUUCUUUUUGGUCAAAUUUUGGGCCAUAAUAGCGAUGGGCAAGCAUGGUUCGUAACUCAGAAUCAAGUUGAGCAAUUUUAGACUGCAGGUUUUGGUGGAUCUGCUGCAUCUGUGUAGAGAUAGAGUCAACUUUUGUCUCAAGUUGUUCAGUUCGCAAACUGAUUUUUUCAACUUUUGAGUUGAUAUUCAACAAAGUAUCAUUUUGAGCUCUAGCAUUGUGAGUUUGCCAGUUGAGGACUGACUCAAAAGGUUUGGAUGGUUCAAGAUGACCAGUUGAAGUUAUGGGUGAAGGGAUAAAAGGUUUGGAUACAACAUUUCGUUGGGAAUCUGUGUGGGUGUCUAAAGGAGGGAAGGAAGAAGAAUAUUCUGAAGAAGUAGAUGAAAACAUCAUACAACUCAGUGGUGGAGGUAGAUCUGGGAUUGGUGAUGGAAUCUCAUAUUUGCAAUGCUUUACAAUCCAUUUGAGUUCUUUUUGGUAAAUUGGUAAAGGAGCUGGUGGCGAUGGAGGGUCUUUUGGUGGUUUAGGGGGACUGUGGUGGCAAGAGGUAGAAGAUUGUUUCUUUUUGGUUUUGCUUUUCCUUUUGGUAACAUAAUCAUCGUCCUCUUCCCAAUCAUCCCAGCAGGGACAAUCUGGGUCACAGUUGCCUGAUCCAGGGACAUCCCAUAGGAAAUGUCCAUUGUGCUUGGCUGGAUAAACAGGGUAACCUUCAGAAUUGAACCCUGUAAUAAGCAGAUCUUCCUGGGCUGUUUGAACAGCUGUGAUCAUGGAGGAAUAUGUAAAAGAGAGCCGAGGGGGCUCUUGAGGAGCACUGGGAGGUGGUUUAAAUGUCAUUCUGACCGUUCCAUCUGGUCGACGUUCAAACAUGCUCUCAGAUGUCUAAACUGGAGCUGUAUUGUUAUGGAACUGUUCAUAGUUGGAGAUCCAUUCAAGUGGCAUAAGCUUGAUGAGCUCAUGGCGAGGAAUUUGUCUUGGGAUCUGGAUGAUGGUUGGGAUUUGGUCAGAUUCAGCUAAUACCAUGAAGGCAUCAGAAUGGUGUUCUAGAGUGGGAAGAUCUAAGGCAUGAUUUUGAAGCCUAUAGACCAGUUGAUGGUGUAUGGUGGCAAUUUUGGCAGAGGAAAUCUGUUCAGCACCUUGGAUCUGAACUUGAACUUUCAAGGUUGUGGGUAGAUUGGUAUAUGUUCAUUAGUUAAAUUUAACUAAUGAACAGCAUAACAAAAUAUUUGGAGUUGCUUAAUACCAUAGAAAAAAAAGCAGAAAGAGAUGUUCAAGAACAAAACACAAAAAUUUUCAUCAAGUGGAGCAUCGAUCAUGCCAGCAUAAUAACAUAAUUACAUAAUGCUCGAAGAGCACCCAAGACCUUCUGAAAAAAUAAUAUAACUUAAAAUAUCAAAAAACACAAAUAAUUAAUUGAUUAUCCAAAUAUAUAAACAAACCUAGCUCACAAUGUGAAAUAUAUUAAAACAGCAACCAUAAGAUUUUCAAACAUUUAAAUUAACGGUGAUGAUAUUUCCACCCCGUGAAUUUUAUAAAUCCACCCAUUUUUAAAAAAAUUAUUAUAAUCAGUUCACAUUAUUUUUUAAAAAUUUAAAUUAAGAAGAAAUUAAAAAAAUUGAUAUAGAAUUUAUAAUUUUAUAAAAUAAUGUAAACUUAUUGUAAUUAUUUUAUACAGGUGGACUGGGUUUAUAAAAAUAGCGGGGUGAAUAUACUUACACCCUUGAAUUAAUAGUUAGUAUAAAUUUUAGAUACCUCCCCUAAAAUUUGACUUUGCUACACUUAGAGAGAAUGUAAACAUAUAUUGACAAUGGAAAAUGCUACUUUUCUCGGGUCAAACUCCGAAUUAAAUUAAAACGACGCUGUUUUGAUUUCUUUUUUUUUCUUUCAUUCUCUCUAAAACGACGCCGUUUUAACUGGCCUCAAAUUGCUCUCUCUCUUCGUCACACAAAUCCUUUUUCUUUGUCUCUCUUCCCCUUCGUUUCAGCUUGGUUAAGGUAAAAUCAACAACAGCCCAAAUUGCUCUCUUUCUCUGUCGGUGGUGGUGCCUUCUGUACAUUUAUCCUGGUACACGUCCCCCAGACCACCACCCCGUUUCCUGUGUUUUUGUUCCAGAUCUCUUACAGCCUCCUCUAUAUUGGUAUUGUUUUCACCAAUAUCCUUACCAUUAAUACCAUGAGAAUCAUUGAAAAGCUCUUCUGUUCCCCAUCGUAGAAUAUCUUCCACUUCCUUUUGAGAUCCAGAUUUAUUGACAAAAAUAUGAUCAAGCAUUAAUUUCUUUUUUGCAAGCUGCAAGAUGCGCUCCUCAACACUGGCACCGACAACAAGCCUAUAUACUAAAAGUCUAUUUGAUUGUCCAAUUCGAUUUGCCUGAUUCAUGGCUUGAAUAUCAGCAUGCAGAUUAAAAUCAGAAUCAUAAAUUCAUCUGUGAAAAAAUAAGAACUCUGAAAAAAUAAGAGAGAACGAAGAGAAAGAGAGCAAUUUGCCUUAACCAAGCUGAAAACAAGGGUUAAAACGACGUCGUUUUAGCUUGAAUUAAAAAAAAAAGAUAUUGAAACGACGUCGUUUAUUGUUUUCGGGAUUUGACUCGGAAUUUGACCCGGGGUAGGGGUAAAUAGCAGAACUCAUUGAUAAUAUACCCCCUAGUCGUGUAUAAGAGUUAGGCACUGGUUAGGUAGUUGAGGGCAAUAACGUACAUGUUGCAUAUUUUUUUAUUUUUAAAUCUUACAAAAGCUGUUGUACUGUAACUAAUUAGACAAGAGCAGCGAAAAUGCAUACAGUGCUUUGAAGCUGGGGAAGCCCAAGGGGAUAGUAACCCAUUUUCAUUGUCAAUGCCUAGCUUCAUUUCUUCUUUUUCUCAGCAUAACUUGAUGAGUGCUUAGCUUCAUUUCGAAGGUCGUGACACCAACUGAUUUUAGCAAAAGCAGAGAUACUUUGUGAUGCAAUAAGCUAACAAGUUUCUGAAAUCAACUAUGUUUUGAACCAAAUUCCGGCGACGACCAGCAGCUGAAAAGCCGGUGAUUAAAGGGCAAUCUAGGUGCGUAAUUCUAUCAAAGCUUAAAAUUGAAGUUAGGUUUUAUUAUUUUCUUGCAUUUUGUUGAAAUUGCUGUUAGUUAGGUGCUUUAUUUUUAGUUCAAAUUAAUUGAGAAAAAUGUUUAGGGUUUAUAGAAAUUGAAGUAGUGACCGAAUAUAUCGGAAUUGAUUUUUGAGUUGAUAGUCACUCGACAUGUUGUGUAAACUAUGAAAAUG
RNAcentral lists this long non-coding RNA (50621 nucleotides) under Citrus maxima (pomelo). Its description in RNAcentral is "long non-coding RNA (CMAX_LNC003699)". The record is from RNAcentral. Lineage: Eukaryota; Viridiplantae; Streptophyta; Magnoliopsida; Sapindales; Rutaceae.